Long non-coding RNA from Mirounga angustirostris (Northern elephant seal), 53019 nucleotides. RefSeq lists it as uncharacterized. The transcript is spliced from 2 exons. NCBI's taxonomy places the organism in Eukaryota, Metazoa, Chordata, Mammalia, Carnivora, Phocidae. The record is from RefSeq and is a predicted model, not a curated record.
GGCGCCGGCCGCGCUGGGCUGGGGGCGAGCGCCGCGGGGCCCGGGGAGGCGGCCGGGCCCCCAAGCGGAGGCGGCGUCCUCCCGGAGGCCCGCGCCCCGCCCUCUCGGCGCCCGAAGGCUGGCGUUCCCCAGGUUCCUGCGGAAACUUUCCUGGGCGCCGCGCUCUCGCUCGCUGCCUUCGUUGGCCUUUGAGACCCGCUCGUUUCCUGGACGCACGCAACCCCAGAAGCAGCGUCGGCCUCCGGCUCUCGCAUCCGCCCCCAGGGCCCAGUAGGGCGCUAUUAAUGUUUGUUGAAUGAAUGAGUGGCUGUCCUAGCGGUCGGGCCCUGUGAUAAAUGACACACUCGCACUCAAGGGGAAAACCUGGAUCAGACACACUUGGCAUCGCGCUGUGACCUUUCUGUGAACUCAGGAGUGGAGGGCUCUUUGUAAGAAACACUUUGUUCCCCGCCAGGGUGAAUGGAAGUGAUCUUAUUUUUUUUCCAGGACAAUUUGCAUGUAAAACACUUCGUCUCACUGGCAGAUUUCACAUCUUGGCUUUUGGUUUGAAAAAUGAAGUGACAGUUCAGAAGAAGCUCUAGUGAUGUGUAGAUAGAAGUUGCUUGGUUAAUGCUGCGUGGUUUGGGAAUAGCGCUCUCGAAGGCCGUGAUACCGUGGUGUCACGUAAUUCCGUGUUUCUGAGUUACCUUAAAGCGUAAAGAAGAACUUCCGUGCUGAGAGUUCUCAAACUUAACACAAAGGACUAAACCUCUACUUUCUGUGUUGGAGUGAGACGCAGCGAAACACAGCUCCAAAAAGGUUUUUUCCCGGUUUGGUUGUUUUGAUCAUGAUAGCUGGUAGCAAAUCAUGAAAUCCAGGCUUGGAAAGCCCUUCGUUACCCUUCUGACUUUUUCCUACUGUAUUCCUGGUGUGGGCUCUCCAGCUAAGACUAAACAACUCUGAGUUUCUGAAGCUCAUGACCUUCCCGGUGCGCCCAACCCACCUUUGCCAACUCUUCAGAAAAGUUUGUUGUAAAAAUACAGAAUUGGCUUCUGUCUAGAGAGAGAGACUCUCUAGAGCCAGAAGCCGGAAUCUCUGGAGCCAGAAGAAUGAGUCUGAUGGUAGCCCCUCACUUUUUUCAAGUGGGUUAGCCUGUUUCCUGGAGUCGUCCCUUAUUUUGAAAAUACUGUCGUGAAGGGACUAGUUUCAGAGGUGAGGGCAGGGGUAAGCGGAGCCAGGAAGGAUGGUGAGGAAGCUAGGGGCUAGCGACAGACAGGUGGAAGCUGUUACUACCUCUAGACCUGACGGGGCACGGGGAGCCCACAGAGAGCUGGAACUAUGGAAGGGGGGCUGCCGGACAGGAACUGUAGCUACAGAGAGACACAGCGACUGUCAGUAACAUGGAGAUGGAGCAGGGAGACAUUGGCACAAGAGAUACUCUGUGUCUUCUCUUUCCUUGCCCUUGAGUCUCUUGUGGGUGCUUCUAGUUGGCUGGACCCAGGGGGAAGUCACCCGGGCAAGGGUGUAUGGACAAUGCCAUAUGUAGGGGUCAGCUCCCUCAGGACACAGAGCCGUGCAGCGAUCAUAGUGGGGAUUGGGGGAAAUGAAAAUAACCAGCAGACCCUUUCAAAGUGAGCUGCCCGGAAGCCCCCAUAGUAGUGUGGAAGUCUAGCCCAGCCCACCCAGGUUAGAACCCUUCUCGGUUCUAGCCCAGACACCAGGUUCUAGUAAUGCAGCCAGGGCCGCUUUUCCUUAUUCUGUCCGUUACAUCACACUGUUAGCUCUCAUUGAGUUGGCUACCGACUUAUUCAAAAACAUUUUCAUGUCUGUGGCUCCUGAACCAUUCCCUUACCUGUCUCAGAUUUACUCAAUUGGGUUUUUGAAACCAGGUGCAAGAUCUUAUUUUUAUCCUUGCUCUACUUAACUGUUAAGUCCUGAUUCUGUCAUUCAGACGCUUAACUAAUCCAGGGGAUGUAAAUGGUGAGUUUGCUUCUUCUAAAGGGGCCCACCACCACCCAGCCCCACCUGCUUGCCGCUGUAGGUGGUAGUUCUGCGAGCCCAAAGAAGGCAGCUGGGUUGGUCUGAAAUCACCUGCUCUUGGUGAGUGUGUGCUGGGUCUCAGUGAUCAAUGCUUUGCCUGUCAAGGGCCCACUAAUCAUCACUUCAGUAACAGUAAGACUAGAUCUUGCUCUGGAUCUUGCAAAAACUCACAGCUGUGUGCUUUGCAGAAACUGCUUUCUCCUACUUCCCCCCCCCCCAUAAUAUUCUAGAACAUGAUUCCUCAAGGUCACUGAUGUGACCUUGAGCAUUGAAUUCUCCUGGGCUCAGGGACUGCCAUUCAUUCACUUGACACCUGUUGUGUCCCACUGUAGAACACAAACAUUGGAAAGACAUAAUACGUGUUAGAAUAUUUAGUCAAUAAUUUCAUAUAACAAUAUGUCUUCGUACAAAUACCUACUACAUACAUCAUAGAAUGACUUAUAAGUCUCAUAAGAAUACAUUAAAAGUAGUCAUCACUCCUGUGUUUUCAAUAAGGAAAAAUAACCUUAGGAAAAGAGAGGUUAAAAGCAUGGUCUUUGGGACCAGACACCUUUGGCUUUGAUUUCUGGUCCAGCCCCUUAUCUAUUGCUAUGACUUAGGACAACUUUCUUAUCUAAGCUUCUGUUUCUUCAUCUAUAAAAUGGGAAUAAAGCAUGUAAUAUGCAUAGCAUGGUAUGAAUAAUGAAUAGUAGCUAUUAAAAUUGAUAGCUCAAUGUGACAUAGUCCUUAAAAUUUGAAAUAGUCUUUUCAUUAUGGACUAUAGAAGAUUCUACAGGUUCUGCAAAUAGCCUAGUAGCUCAUGACUCUGAAGCUCUUAUGACCCUGCGUUGGUCCCUUUGGAAAUUAGGGAUCUUUCCUUGCACAUCAGAUACUCCUAUUUCCAUAAUGUCAUAUUUCAGCAUUUUUUAGAAGAUUUUAUUUAUUUUUUGAGAGAGAGAGUGCAAGCAUGAGCAUGUGUGCAGGAGUGGGGAGAGAGGCAGAGGGAGAGACUCUCCAGCAGACUUGUGCUGACUGCGGAGCCCCACGUGGAGCUCAAUUCCACGACGCAGAGAUCGCGACCAGAGCCGAAAUCUGGAGUCAGACGCUUAACCAACUGAGCCACCCAGGUGCCCCAUAUUUCAGUAUUUUAGAAUAUCUGGGCCCAUUUUCAGGAGUUGUCGUUAAGUGGCUUUUGUUUUCCUCUGUGGAUCUUCUCUUUUGUGGUUCCAGCCUUCCUUUACGCUAUACACAGCCCUCUUCUGUGGCUCCUUAGAGUAGCCUUUCAGAGUCCUUAGCCAAAGGGUCACCUUUCAUCUUUCUUUCUCUAGAUCUGUCCUCAAGACUUGCUCUUUCCAGGGACACCAUCUUGCAUUGUAUUUGCCAACUGGAGGUGCCCUAAGUUGGGUCAGCAGCAAUGAUUAUUCCUAUCACUUACCCUUGUAUUUAUUAUCCCUUAGAGUUUUACAUUUUGUUCGAUGUCCAAUGUGUCCAAUAAGGGCUUUAACUUAAUAAUUUUAAAAUAAUACUAGGACUUACCCCUUUGGUUCUCAUUGGCCUCCCAGUGUAACUGGGGAAGAUCCCCAAACUGUAACAUAUUUAUGGUUUCGGGAGUGGGGGGAUCCCCCAGCCCUGCUGAGCAACUCUCUUCUCCCCGAAUCAGCAUGCAUUCUCAUUUUCCAAAGUGCCACCUCAAACCCUCACCACUCAAACUCUUCCCCACACCUUGAGAUAGAAAACUGAGUACUAGGUGUGAACUUGUUCAAUUUCCCCUUGCUCCCUGAGAUCUACACCUCCUUUCAUGCUCCUUGCCUACCCUAGUCUCUUCCAAAGAGGUCCCUUGUCCCCUUGUUUGUGAGGCCAUUCAUUUUGCUCCUUCCCAGACUCGGCAUAGCCAAAUAGCCUUGCUCUCAUGUCCUCAGUCUCUUUCAUGCUGCUCUACCCCCCAACAUUCUGUAAAUAUGCUUGAGUCUUUCCCAUUUGGAGAAGAUCUCCUGAUACUGGUUUCUUCUUAAUACUCAACUGCAGAUCUUGAAAGAGUUGCCUUAAUGGCUUUCCCUUGCUUAUCUCCUCAUCAUUUCUUGACCCAUUAGCCUCGUUCUUUCAGGAAUCCUCUACUGAGCGCCUACCAUGUACCAGGCGCUGUGCUGGGAUAUGGCAGGGAAAAUCCAGACAAAAAUCUCUGCCUGCAUGGAGCUUACAUUCUAGCAGUGGAGACAGAUAAUAAACAAGAUCAGUUGGUAGAUCAUGUGUGUUGUAUUAGAGUAGUGACAGGUGCUUUAGAGCAAAAUAAAGCAUGGCAAGGGAACACGGAGUGUUGAGGGUUGAGAGAUGGUUGGCACUGUAAAAUGGGAUGGCUAGAAAAGACUUCCCUGGGAAGGGUAUUUCUGAAAGAUCUGAGGGAGGUGAGGGAGCCAUAUGUGUAUCUUGAAGAAGAGCAUCACAGGCAGAGGGAAUGGCAAAUGCAAAGGCCCUGAGGCAGGAGUGGACCUGAUAUGUGGAGGGCCAGCAAGGAGGUCGCUGUGACUGGAGAGGGUGAGCAUGGUUGUGGAAGGUGGUGAGGUCUCAGGGAUUAGACGGAGGGUAGAUGCGGGUUGUGUAGGGUGCUGGAGGCCAUCGUAUGCCUGGAGCCUUUACUCAGAGUGAGAUGGGAAGGUUUCAGGGGCUUUGAGUAGAGGAAUAACAUGACUGCACUUGUGUUUCAGCAGGAUGGCUCUGGUGAGGUGCUGCAUGACUGUGGGGGGGCAGAGGUAGAAGCAGGGACAUGAGCUAGGAGGCAGGGGAGAGCGGCGGUGGCCUGGAGUAGAGGGGUGGGCGCUGAAGCCUGGGUGUAGUUUGAAGAUGUGGUGGGUAGGAUUUACUGAAUGGUUGGAUGGAAGAUGAGAGGAGAAUCGAGAUGACUCCAGGGAUUUGGGUUUGAACAGCUGAAGAGAGAGUGCUUUCACUGAGCUGGAGAAGUCUCUGGGUGAGCUGGUUUGGGGAGAAAGAGGGUGGGGCCUGUUGAAUAGAGGGGCCUGCUUCACUUUGCAGCGGCCAUGCUGAAUUCACAGUUGGUUCCAAGAGCCCAGUUCGGGGGCGGGGGGUGUCUGGGCUAGAAAGUAGAAGAGGUCCAGGGCCUGCGCCCUGAGGCUUUCAAACAUAGCGGACCGUGGAGAGAGGAUCAGCAGGAGGGGCCAUGGAAGGAGGAAAGCAGGAGCGCAUCCGCCUGUUCCCACAGUGCAGGCUUUGCUGGUUGAGGGCUCCCAGGACCCACGGUCUCCUUUUCCGUCCUCAUUCCACUUGGGCUGUUGGUGGCAUUUGACAUUUCUUCAGCUCUCUCUGUUCCUCAAGACAUCUUCUCCCUUGACCUUAUUCACACUGAAAUUGUUGCCUAUGUCUCUGACUAGUCUUUCUCAGACUCCUUCUUGGGUUGUUCUUGCCUAUUUGCCCCCUCAGCAGCAUUUCCUGGGGUUCUGACUUCCCGGCUUUGCUCUCUGUUUUGGGGUGGUUUUUUUUUUUUUUCCUCUCCCGUGGAUUAUCUCACCCACUCCCAUGGCUUCAAUGACCAUCUGCCCAUUGAUGCUUCUCAAAUCCAUGUCUUAAGUCCGGAUCUCUCACCUGUAGGGCACCCAUCUCCUGGGUGUGUCACCCUCCAAGUCCACAUGCCCUCGAGGGCAUUACUAUCCGUGCCACUUGCCCCAAUCAGCUUCUCUCCUUCCACCAUCCCGCCAGUUGCCUGAGGCCGCGGUCUUCCUCUGUCUUGGCAACCUCUUCUGAAAGGGCAAAUAGCAAAUAUCGCAGACUUUGCUGGCCCCAGCCUGUGCUCGGUUCUGCCCUUGUUACCGUAGACGGGAGGUGAAGGAACACGCAUGGCUCUGCUCCAGCUGGACCCUGACAUUUGAAUUUCAUGUAACUUUCAUGUGUCACAAAAUAUUCUCAUUCUUUUUCAGUCCUUUAAAAAUGUGAAACCCAUCCUUAGCAGUGGGGCUGCAAGAAAACAGAUGGCGGGCUCGUGGCAGCCCCGGGGCAGUGGCUUGCCCACCUCUGCUCUCUCCUGUCCCUGCACACAGCCGUCUGUCCAGGAGGCCUGUGGAUUCCGCCUUGCAUCCCCACCUCGGGUCAGGCCCCGGAAGUGCUCUUUGUCUUUUUCAACAUUGUUUCUUUCUUUUUUUUUUUCUUUUUUUUUUUAAUUUUUCCAUUUUUAUUUUCUACCUGAAAUGUUGCAAAUAUCCACCCCACUGGUCUCCCUGUCUCUGGGCCUUUUCUGUUCAAUCCACCCUUCAUUAUUUUGCCAGUAUACCGUUGUUGUUGUUGUUUUUUAUUUUUUUUUAUUCUUAUGUUAAUCCCCAUACAUUACAUCAUUAAUUUUAGAUGAAGUGUUCCAUGAUUCAUUGUUUGUGCACAACACCCAGUGCUCCAUGCAGAAUGUGCCCUCCUCAAUACCCACCACCAGGCUAACCCAUCCUCCCACCCCCCUCCCCUCUACAACCCUCAGUUUGUUUUUCAGAGUCCAUCGUCUCUCAUGGUUCGUCUACCCCUCCGAUUUCCCCCGCUUCAUUCUUCCCCUCCCGCUACCUUCUUCUUCUUCUUCUUCUUUUUUUUCUUAACACAUACUGCAUUAUUUGUUUCAGAGGUACAGAUCUGAGAUUCAACAGUCUUGCACAAUUCACAGCGCUUGUUGUUGUUUUUUUAACACCAAGGUAAUGCCCCCUCAGGGCGUUCAAGACCUCCUCAGCUGCUCCUUAGUCUCCCCUUCUGGUCUUGCCUCUGUUUCCCUUUCAGGAAGCCUCCAUUUUAGCUGCACCCAACCGCUCUUUAUUCCCCAACACAUCACGUUCUUUCACACGUGUUAACCUCUGUACGUGCUGUUCCAUAUUUCUGAAAUGACCUUCUUCCUUUCCCUAUACACCAAACUCCUAUUCAAUCAUUAAAACCCAGUUCAGAUAUCCCCUUCUGCUGGUUGCCUUCCUCGCUCCCGCAGGAAGUGAGCUGCUUCCUUCUCUCAUGCCCCCUUAUCCGUGGCUCUGCCGUGGCACUGGCCACGUUGCCCUGUGGCCGUCUGUGGGAGUGCAUGUCACACGCCACGCUGAGGGCCCCCUUCCCGUAGCCCCCCUGCCCGGCGUAGUGUUUAACACAUGGUGAUACUGGAGUUUCCAUGCGAGGAAUUUCCCCAUAUUUACCUGGGUGAAAAUAGCCCCCUGCUAACUGGUUGUGUAAUCUUAGGCCUCUUCCUCUUUGUCCAUUUCUCAUGUCAGUGGAUUAAGCUACAGAACCUCUGAGGGCCCUUGCAGCUCUGGUGUUCUGUGAUUUCUGAGCUCUCAUUUCACCAGGCUUCUCUCAAAUUCAGUUUUAUUGUCUGUGUAGGGUGGUCUGGGAAUGACAUCAUCACAAAGACCUCUUUCUUUCCUCCACUAAUGAAGGCACCUCAGUGUCGGGAGGAGGAGAUGGGCACCAGGAUAAGCGGGCCCCGGCCCAAGGACACCUCCAUAUUAGGAGUCCUUGUCUCAUGGAAUAUCUCUCUUUGGUUAACAAGCGCAGUUCGUAAUUAUGUUUUAGCCAUUAGUACAGAAGAGAUGAAAUCCUCAUGUAAACAUAUGUAAGCAUCUAAAAUCACUAUUCACUGUCAUGGAAAAAAGAACACAUUUGGGAAAAGCUCUACAACAAUUUCAGUAAUUAAAAAAAACACUUAAAAAUAAAAUAUACAUUUUUAAAUUAUUCCUUUUUUUUUUUUAAGAUUUUAUAUAUUUAUUUGACAGAGAGAGACACAGCGAGAGAGGGAACACAAGCAGGGGGAGUGGGAGAGGGAGAAGCAGGCUCCCCGCAGAGCAGGGAGCCCGAUGCGGGGCUCGAUCCCAGGACCCUGGGAUCAUGACCUGAGCCGAAGGCAGACGCUUAACGACUGAGCCACCCAGGUGCCCCCAAAAUAAAAUACUUUAAGGGAGGCACAAACGUUCUGUUAAGUGUUCAGUGUGUUCUGCAGCCGAAAUCAGGAAGAAAUCCCUAUGAAGGUUUUGUCUGAGGCCUAGAGCCCCCAGGACAAGGAGGCCUCCUCUAGCUUAGGCCCUGGACCUCGUCCCUUCCCUCCUUUUCCCUGUGGUGCCUGGGAGGGCAGGGGUUCUGUCCGUCCUGCUCCUGUUUGCACCGCACGUGCCUUGCGUGGUUCCAGAUACUCAACAAGUGCCCUACAAAAUGGCGAACCAACUGCCUGAAUCAUCAGUGGGCAUCUGACUCCUCCUGAGGGUGUCCCCAGCUUACUUCAAACUCUGCCUAACCUUGAAUGACAAUCCUGGUCCCCUGCUUUCAUCCAGGCCUCAACUUCUGGCUGCACGUGCACGGGUGCGUGUGUAUGUGUGUGAGAGAUGAAACUGCCUUCUCCCACCAGGAAUCUCUUUACCCUUUGUGGAGGGACAUUAUCACUUAGCCCCACUCUUGACAAGCACGCUAAGGCCCUGGGUCCUAGAAUCUAUAGGCAGUGAUGAUACAGUGCAGGCAGGUCCAGGGUGGAGAUCCCUCUGAGUGUAGAGGCCUGCGUUUUUGUUUUCAUCCAGAAAAGCUUGCUCUGUGAAAAUGGCGUUGCAUGUUUUCCUGAUGGAGCUAAAAUGAUGACGGGCUGAGGUGAAACAGCCUCUGGGCAAGGUUUGGGGGAGACAAAAGAAAGGUGCAGACCAAAACUGUGCAAGAAAUUCAGAAUUCCUGUAAUUCCCCCGGAGCCUGCUGGUUGCCCUCCCCCGCCUGCCUAGCCCUUCCUGCGCUUCUCCGCUCCAUUACUCACUAGGUGCCAAACCAGGGGAAUCCAUCACCACCACACUCCCCACUCCGGCCCACCCGGAAGGACCUACUAAAAGGAGAGCCUGGCUCGGAGCACAAGCUGUGGAUCGUAGCUGCUUCAUCUGUGUUCUGGCCCGGAGACACGCGUUUGCACGGAGUGCGGAUGGAUCGCUAUAGGCCUUGCUGAAAAUCUGGUUCCACUAGCAUUUACUAAGUGAUAAUUCUGUUUGCUGUGAACACACCAGCCUGCCAACGCCUUAGAAAAACCGUCUUUGUGGCUAGAGACCCUUUGUGGCUAGAGACCCUGUGUUCCCUGCAAACCAGCCUUAGGGAGAAGUUAGGCCGUGGACGGAAGAAGCGGUGAACUUCAUCGGUUGAAACAGAAAUAUUCUCUACUACCACACACUCUUGGGGGAAGGAAGAAUGAACCAAAUUGCUUAGCAUCUAAUUUUUUAAUAAAAGUAGGGUUUUUUUCCCAUUAUAAAAUUAACCCAUGCUUUAGGGAUUUACGGGAAAGUAGAAAACAGCCAUGCGAAUUGCACCUCCCAGAAGCAAUCACUGUUAGAAUUUUGACUUACUUCGGUCUAUUCUUUUUCUUCCUUAUAACUUUUUUCCUUUUUAUAAUUGUAAGUAUACCAUGUAUAUUACAUAGAUAAAAAUUCUGUAUCUCUAUUUUUCAUUUAUUAUAUCAAUAGAUUUUGUGUUGUAAAUCUUACCAAACAUACUUUUUAUAGGUGCAUAAUAUUCAUUGAGUGAAUGUCCUCUUGCUCACUUACCCAUUUCUUUUGAUCCUCUUUUUUUUUUUCUAGAAAUGAUGCUGUCCAAAACUUUUUUAAAAAGGAAGAAUAAUUUUCUUUGAAUGGAGCCCCAGAAGUACAGUUAUGGGUCAAAGGGUGACUUUUGGCUUGCUUAACACUGAUUGUUUAUCACUGAUAAACAGAGAUUCCUGCUUUUGGGUCUGGGUGGUCUUCCCAGUAGGCUGUUUGAAAGUAAAACCAGCAUCGUUAGGCUGGAAGUUUCUGUCUGCUCCUGGCUAAUGGGCCCAGGUCACUGAGUUGUGGGAUGGGGUGGGGUGGGACGGUGAUGGGUCAGGCAAGUGCACACUUCCCUCCUGGUCAGUAACAUGUUCAUAGUGAGCUCUAGAACAGGCAGAUCUUUAUUUCAGAACUUUCUCUUGGGGCCAUCCUUCCAUCCAUAUGUGGCCUGGUUUAUCAUCCCAAGUGCCUGCUCUUCUAACAAGGCCCGAGGUGCCUUGGGAAUGGUCAUCCUUGAAGUCCCCUUGGAAAUGGUCAUCCUUGAAGUAAGUCACAGCCUCCCCCUGCCCCACUGAGUUCGCACCACUUCAUGUGAGACCCAGUGAAGGUUUGGUCAAGGAGUCCCUCCUUGUCUUGACCUCUCCCUCCCUACCUCCCAACUGCUGAAUUCUUGGACUUGCCCCACACUUGGUAACCACAACUGGGAGGUCAUGACAAGACAGUGAACUGAGGGCGACGAUGGACAAAUUAAGGUUGCCAGGGUUUAGGGCUCCUUAGGACACAUGGUGCUUGCAAGCUGGGUCUCGAAACCAGAGGAAGAAACCCCUCCCCGCCCCAGGCUGACAAGAGGAGGGAUAGGAUUCGGGAGCUUUCUGAGUUUCUGAUGGAUUUUGACAAGAGUGGGCUGGGCCGAUGCCUCCAGGGCUCAGUUUCCUCAACCUGCAUUAGGAGUCAGCAGUCAGGUGUCUCAUUUCAUCUGCUAAGAGUGGAUCUGAGCCAGUUGGAGCACGUAAUUAUCACACCCAGCACCCCAGGGAGCGUUUCUUGGGCGUCAGUUGUGGAGGCAGACUCCCCCCCCCCGCCCCCCCCCCGGGAGUGGUGUGUCAGGGCAUUUAUUCAUCCUUGAAUCAUACUCCACUCCCUUCACUCAUUCCCUAUCUCUUUGAAAAUCCAGAGGCCCCUCCCCUCUUCUGUUCUGUGAAAAACCCAGUCUGACACAGGAGUUGUGAACGCGGUGGGUCUCCUGGGGAUGAUGAUGAUGUGGGACUACAAAAAAGUGAGGUUGCUGGCCUGUUUCUGCUCCCUCGGAGACCCAAACCCAGGCCGCAGGGCUCCCCAAAAUACCAGGGUGCUCCACGGAGCAGGCUCUGCACUUACUUCUUCCUAGGAUAUAUUCAUCAGUAGAACCAUUAAUCUGCCAAUUGCAGUAUGACAUUGACUUUUCCAACCCAAAACAAUUCUUUCUAAAGCAGAUUUUGUCUUAGACAACAUGGCUUUGGCCGUAGGGUGUGUGGGAGCCCCUGUGGAGAGACAAAAUGAGAGAGGGGUUCAGGAAGAGGGUCUGCGGCCCCAAUCUCCAAGUUGAGGGGAUGGGGCAAUCCAGGUUUAUUAGGGCAGGCGUUGAGGUGACAGGGUCCCAAGGUUCUUGGCCUCUGUUGAGUGCCUGAGUUCUGAAUCUGAAGGGCUUAUCCAAGUCCAGGCUGGGGUCUCAGCUUCAGGGGCCUGGGGGCAGACACCGGCAGAAGUUAGCAGGCAAGUCAAGACCCUAGCUGAGCAGGUGAGGGGCAGGGGCAGGCUACGGCCCCAAUGUGGACUCAUCCUGACCCCACAAAUGGAGGUCGUUGAUGAGUCUGCCAGUGCUCACACAGGAACCCGGGGUCUCGCCUCACUCAUUGCCCCCACCCCCCUACACUCCCGGCUUGGAAAUCAACUUUCCUCUUAGUGGAGAGGGGUUUCCUAUUUACGGUAAGCCUGAGCUGUCCCUGACUCCCAGCCCUGGUGGGGCCGACCUAUAGAUGACAGGUAGUGACUAGUGACAGCUGGGAGAAGCAGGGGCAGCAGGAACCAACGUUUUUUGAUGCUGUUUGCAAAACACAAGUUGCAUUUUAAAGCAACCCAGGACACGGGCAAGUGCCGAAAUAGCCCUUUGCAAGGAGUAGUAGCUGCCUCUUAGCUGACAGUUGCAAGGCCUGUCCUGGUGGACUCCGUAGCCCCUCCAGCACAUGUCCAAGGGCCUGGAGAACAGAACGAUCUCUUCGCCUGCUUUUCCUCCCCGCCUGUCAUUAUGGUAAAUUACAAGGCUCCCAUGAUGACUAUGGAGAGGCAGAUUGAUUUUGUUCCUUGUGGUUGUCGCUGUGCUCAACGUGGCCGGGGUGAUGGGCACCCAGAUUUCACACCUGGUAAUGGCCCUGCCAGGGGUGGAUGUGAGCACAAUUGGGACCUGACACUUCAAUAAAUCGGAGACAUUCUGCUGUGGAGAUCAAAGUUCAGAAUUGCUUAAAUUGGUGUUGGAGCAGGUGGGAAACAGGAGUCCAGAGCCAUGAAUUGGAUAGAAAACAAUUGUCGUUCAAUUUGUAAGACCUGAAUGUCAGCUUUUCGAAUGAUAUGACACCAAUUUAAGUGAGUUGGGCUCCCAGCUACCUAGCCUAUUUAGUAUGACUGGUUUGGGAAAGUGUGAUUCAUGGUCUAGCUUAUGUCCUUAAAGGGGAAGGGCUUGGAGAACCAACCCUGCUUGUAUCUCUGGGGUCAGGCAGUUGUGUUCGGGGAGGGGGGUGGUAUCACUGGGUUAUCUGUGUUCGUGGGCGUGUGGAUGACAGUUUCACCUCCUACCUGGAUGUGUUGGUAAGCCCCCAAGCUCCAUUUCCCGCCGUGACCUCUCUCCUGAGCUUUAGACUCAUUACAUGUUUAUGUCACAGCAUCAGUCCUUGUACACAGAGGUGAAGCUGGAUUUUAACAGGCCAUAUCGUUCUCAAAGGCUCCAGAUGAGGUGGGGUUGUGCUCUGUGUUCUGAUGGCAGCUCAAGUCCAGAGGAGAGGUAGUUUGAUCUCUGUGAAUGAAUGGGUACCUUUUUUAUAUUUAUUCUUUCUUAGGAUUGCAGUUUUAUUGAGGUACAGUUCCCCAUUUAAACAGUGUAAUUCUCUGGUUUUUAGUAUAUUCACAGUUGUGCAACCAUUGACACAAUUCUAGAACAUUUUCAUCACCCCAAAAAGAGACCUUGUGCCCAUUAGCAGUCACCCUACCUUCCCUCCCUAUUCUCCUACCCCCCCCAGGAGCCGCUAAUCUAUAUUCUCUCUCCAGAUUUGCCUAUUCUGGACAUUCCGUAUAAAUGGAGUCAAACAAUCAUUCUAUGGUUUUUUUCCAUUGGCUUUUUUCACUUAGGGUAGUAUUUUCUUUCUUUCUUUCUUUCUUUUUUUUUUUUAAAGGAUUUUAUUUGUCGGAGAGAGAGAGAGUGAGUGCACAAGCAGGGGGAGGGGCAGAGGGAGAGGGAGAAGCAGACUGCCUGCUGAACAGGGUGCCUGAUGAGGGACUUGAUCCCAGGACUCUGGGGUCAUGACCUGAGCUGAAGGCAGACGUUUAACUGACUGCGCCACCCAGGCGUCCCCUUAGGGUAGUAUUUUCAAGGUUCAUCCAUGUCGUAGCAUCCAUCAGUACUUUGCUCCUUUUCACGGCCGAAAAAUAGCCUGUUCGAUGGAUAAUACCACAUUUUGUUUAUCCAUGCAUCAGUUGAUGGACAUUUUGAUUGUUUGCACUUUUUGCUGUAAUAAAUAAUGUAGCUAUCAAUUUUCAUGUACAAGUUUUUGUGUGGACAUAUGUUUUCAUUUCUCUCGAGUACAAGAGAAUAUGUUUCGCAUUUUGAAGAACUGCCAGGCUGUUUUCCAAAGGGGCUGCACCAUUUAAUACUCCCACCAUCAGGGCGUGUCUCCACAUCCCCACCAACACUUGUUACCGUCUUUCUUUUUUGAUGGUAGCCAUCGCGGUGGUGUGAAGUGUAGCUCACUGUGGUUCUCAUUUGCAUGUCCCUGAAAGGUCAUGAUGUUGAUCAUCUUUUCAUGUGCUUUUUGGACAUUUGUAGAUCUUCUUGGGUAACCAUGCCCCCAUAGAGUUCAUUGCACAUCUCCCCAGUCCUAAGCAUGAAGAGGACUCUGGCUGCUCACCCAGAAAGGUACAUGGCAAGAAAGUCUCAUCCUCCCAUUUUUUUAAAUGUUGGUGGGGAGUGCCAGAGACUUGUUGCAUCCUGUAUGAGGUGCUGUUCAUCUUGCAGAAUGACUGUAUUCCUGAAAUAUUUCCUGUUAAGCAAAUGGUCAUAAUCCUGUUUUACCACUGGCUGUCAUUAUUAAAUUGGAAAUUGAUUGGAAUAAAACUUUGGGCCCAAAUUGUAAAUGUGGGAAAUUCCUGUUGGUAUACUAUUAUAUUUCACAUAAUAAUACUAAAAACAAUGAUAAUACCAUUAGGGCAUCAGGGGCAAGCGCUUAUGAUGCUCUAUGGGCCAGGCAAUGUAGUAGAUGCUUCAGAUAUAUUAAUGUUUGAUCUUCCUAACAACCCCAUGAAAUAGGUAUUAGCAGCUUUGCCCCUUUACAAAUGGGGAAAGUGAAGAACAGGGAGGCCAGGUAACUUGCCCGAGGUCAAAGCUCAUGUACUAGUUAAGGUAACACUAGCUGCUAUAACAGAUAAGCCCCAGAUUCUCAGAAGCUUAUCAUAAUAAAAAUUUAUUUCCUGCUUAUAGCAGAACCCCAUGGCAUCAUUUUUUUUUUUUUUUUAAGUGAUCUCUACACUCAGUGCGGGGCUUGAACUCAUGAGCCUGAGAUCAGGAGUCGUAUGCUCUACUAACUGAGCCAGCCAGCCCCCCAACUCCAGCCUCCUUGAUUGGAUUGCCUUCCACAUGGUCAUUCAGGGAUCCAGGUACCUUUCAUCUUAACAGUCUUCCUUCUUCCAUGUUCUUUGGGUCCUCACCAAUCAAUCAAGGGGGCCUGGUGAGAAAGACAGCAAGACUUCAGUGGGAGGUUCUUACCUGGCAGGCACUGACUUGAUGCAUAUCACUUCUGCCCACUUACCACUGGCCAGAGCUCAGUUUUGUGGCCGCACUUCAGUGCAAAAGAGGCAAAGAGACAUAGUUGUUGGCCCAGAGGGAAAGGAAAUGAAUUCUGGCAAAUACACGCAUUGUUUUGCCAUCACUAGCAAGUGGAAGACCUAGGAUUUGAACCGGGGCAGUCUGGCUCCAGAGCAUUGCUCUUAACUAGAACAUUCUACCAUCUCACUGUGAACAACAGCUCAAAGUCAGAGAAAAGUGUGGAGAGUUACACCACUUUUUACUCCGUGUUAUUCCCACCCAGAUGCUGGGCUUGGGAAUUCUAUCAAAUUCUAUCAAAGUCAUUGUCUUUCAGUGCCAGGCUCUGUUCUCUACAUUUUUACAUGUUCUAUUUCAUUGAAUCCUCAUAAUUACCCCCAUGAGAUAGGGGAUUAUGAUUAUUCCCAUUUUCCAGGUGAGGAGGCUAAAACCAAACGCUUGGGUGUGCCUCCCGGUGUAAGUAAGUGGCGUCUCUGGGCUUCUAGCACCUUCAUAUGAAACGACCGAGCACGGGGGGGUUUGAAGGGAAGGUGAGAGAAGAUGAGAAAGUCCACGCCACCAAACCCCAGCUAGAACCUUAUUUGGAUCCUGCUUCAGAAAAAUCAACUUCUUCAGGGCACCUGGGUGGCUCAGUUGGUUAAGCGACUGCCUUCGGCUCAGGUCAUGAUCCUGGAGUCCCGGGAUCGAGUCCCGCAUCAGGCUCCCUGCUCUGCAGGGAGUCUGCUUCUCCCUCUGACCCUCCUCCCUCUCAUGCUCUCUGUCUCUCAUUCUCUCUGUCUCAAAUAAAUAAAUAAAAUCUUUAAAAAAAAAAAGAAAGAAAAAAAAAGAAAAAUCAACUUCUUCAAGUGAUUUAUGGGACAAUCAGGAAAAAGUAACCACUCACCGGCAAUGGAUGACAUGAAGAAAUCAUUAUUAAUUUGUAGGGUGUGAGAACAGCGUCGUGGUCAUGUUAAAAAAGACGGAAGUCCUUAUCUUUUCCAGGUACAUACUGAAAUGUGUAGUGGACGGCAUGAUAAGAUGUCUGGAAGUUGCUUUGGAUAAUGCAGUGCAGGGGUUGAGGUGUAGCAACAAGGGGCCACGAAUUGCUCAUUAUUGCAGAACGAUGAUGGGUACAUGGAGGUUUGUUGUACUAGUCUCUCACUUUGGGGUGUAUUUGAAAUUUCCUGUAAUAAUUAUAAUAAAAAAGAAAACUUUAGGGCGCCUGGGUGGCUCAGUUGGUUAAGCGACUGCCUUCAGCUCAGGUCAUGAUCCCAGGGUCCUGGGAUCGAGUCCCGCAUCGGGCUCCCUGCUCUGCGGGGAGCCUGCUUCUCCCUCUCCCACUCCCCCUGCUUGUGUUCCCUCUCUCGCUGUGUCUCUCUCUGUCAAAUAAAUAAAUAAAAAUCUUUAAAAUAAAAAAAAAGAAAAGAAAACUUUAAUGAAUGGGCUUUCUGUAGCCCCCUAGUUUGUAAAUGAAGUGAUGAGGUUGGGCUCAGAGCACAGAACAUGUUCGUUAAGAACAGUUGAGCAGGGAUUCCUGAGUGGCUCAGUCGGUUCGGCGUCUGCCUUCGGCUCAGGUCAUGAUUCCGGGGUCCUGGAAUCGAGCCCUGCAUCGCAUCGGACUCCUUGCUCAGCGGGGAGCCUGCUUCUCCCUCUGCCUGUCACUCCCCCCUGCUUGCAUGCUCUCUCUCUCUGACAAACAAAUUAAAAAAAAAAAAAUCUUAAAAAAAAAAGAACAGCUGAGCAGCCUGGAAGAUUUUCUAAAGCAGGCCAUCAGGGGCUCUGUUUGGGCAUCAUUGGCCCAUGUUUGAAUUCUGAGAUUCUCCCAGAGGCAGCGUUUAGUGCCCAGAGAACUGAGCUCCUGAAGACGAACCUGGGGCCUCCAAAAGGCAGAUACACAGGCUCCCUGGGUGAGGCGGAUCCAGGCUGAGGGUGGGUUUUGCCCUGGCCCAGCGGCCUCCACACAGGCUAGCUGUGCAGCAUGCGACAAAUAUCUCGCUGAAAGGUACAGCACGGCCCCGGGCCCCAGCUGCACUUUAAUUAAACGGUGAAAAUCCAUCAAAGACUCGGCCUUCUCAGUCAGCCAGUUCUCUGAGUCCCAGGUGAAGCCAGCUCUCGGCUGGCUGCGGGCCAGGAGGAAGGUGAGCUGCAGGCCCUCCCAAGUCCCUGCCUAAAAUCAACAGCCAGGGCUCCGCAGCCAGCUUCUGACCUGAUGCAAAUUAAGCUUGGCAUUUGGCGAUGGUAUUAAAUGUCCUAAAUCAAUAUUCUAGAGGCAGGAUCAGAACAAUUAAAAACCCUGAUUUCCUCCUUGGAUCAUUGGAGUAUAUAUGAAUAUAAAUUGUCAGUUCACUUUUCAAACUCAGCAGGCUGAGAAAGAGGGAGGUCAGCCUGGUGAUGCUGUGAGCAUAGUUUAUUUCAUCCUCAGCAUCUUUUCCUAUUUUUACAUGUAUGCAGCAUGUGUCAAGCACACAGGGGCAUUCGUGUGUGAUGAAACGUUUAAUCCCUGCAGUAACCCCGGGAGGUUCUGUCAUCCCCACUUUACAGAUGAGCUAACAGAGGCUCAGGUGAAGUGACUUGCUCAGGGUGUCAGCUACUAAGUGGUAGAGCAAGGAUUUGAGUUAAUUCCUUCAAGCUCAAGUCCAGUGCUUUGCCCACUGUAACACAGCUGGCUUUUCUUCAUAGUGUUUAUGUUUCAUUCAUCAGUAAUGAUAAUUAAUAACAAUGGAUGAACCAUAACAAGAGUGACUGUUUAAUAAUUUAGUUUCUCUAGUCUUAAAAGAUACUGGCAGUUUUUCUGGUUUUCCAUUUGUUCAACCGUUUAUUGAGGGGCAGCCUGGGAGGGAGGUUUCUGGGCUCUGGAGUGCACCAGACUGGUCCCACCGCAUACAGGCUGUGUGACCUGGGACAAGUUCAUCAUCCUCUCUGAGCCCAGGCUUCCUCAUCUGUAAAAUGGGAUGGUACUCCUCCCACCCCCCUGGGGUUGUCAUGGAGAUGAAAGGAGUAGAGACUUGCAAAGUGUUUAAAGUGGGGUUGUCAUGGAGAUGAAAGGAGUAGAGACUUGCAAAGUGUUUAAAGUAGGGCCUGGCUCUCAGUGGGCAUUCUAGAAAUCUGAGUCCCUGGCAGACACUGUCAAGGCCCUAGAGGAAGACCUAUGUCUCUGCUCUCAUGGAACUCGCCUCUUAUGUUUAGCCAGUUAAUAUUAUUGCUCCUAUUUUCAUUAAACUAGCUAAACAUAUUUAUGUUUAUAGUAAAAAAAUUCAAAGAGGCCAGAAAUAUAAACUGAAAAGGAAGGACUCCUCCUUCUUUCCUAUAGUCGGGAUUUAGAUAGACUGGUGUAGCCUGUAAUAACAGUAAUAAUAAUAAUAGUAUAUAGUAAUGUAAUAAUAGUGUGUCAGGAAUGCUCUGUUGUGCAAGCAUACGCACUUGUCUUCUUUCUAUACAACUGGAAUGCCACUGUAAAGGGUGUUUGACAGUUUAUACUUUUCCACUUACCUAUUUACCCAUCUUGCGUACAGGCAUACCUCAUUUUAUUACACUUCACUUUAUCACGUGUCGCAAAUAUUGCAUGUUUUUUGUACAAAUUGAAGGUUUGUGGCAACCCUGCAUCAGGCAAGUCUGUUGGUGCCAUUUUUCCAACAACAUUUGUUCGCUUCAUAUCUUUGUGUCACAUUUUGCUAAUCCUUGCAAUAUUUCAAACUUUGUCAUUAUUUGUUCCGGAGCUCUGUGAUCAGUGAUUACGACUCGCUGAAAGCUCAGGUGAUGGUUAGCAUUUUCUGGCAAUAAAUUUUUUUUUUUAAAGAUUUUAUUUAUUUAUUUGACAGAGAGAGAAUGAGAAAGAGAGCACAUGAGAGGGGGGAGGGUCCGAGGGAGAAGCAGACUCCCCGCGGAGCAGGGAGCCUGAUGCGGGACUCGAUCCCGGGACUCCAGGAUCAUGACCUGAGCCCAAGGCAGUCGCUUAACCAACUGAGCCACCCAGGCGCCCCGGCAAUAAAAUAUUUUUAAUUAAGGUGUAUACAUUUUUAAAGACAUAAUGCUAUUGCAUACUUCAUAGAUUAUAAUAUAGUGUAAACAUAGUUUUUAUAUGUACUGGGAAAACAAAAAUUUCAUUUUACUCUAUUGUGAUAAUUGCUUUAUUGCAGUGGUCUGGAACCAAGCCUGCAAUAUCUCCAAGGUAUGCACGUGUCUUUCACAUAUGGAUUUACCUCAUUUUUAAAAUUUUAUUUAUUUAUUUAUUUAAGAUUUUUAAAAUUUAUUUGACAGAGACACAGGGAGAGAGGGAACACAAGCAGGGGGAGUGGGAGAGGGAGAAGCAGGCUUCCCGCUGAGCGGGGCUCGAUCCCAGGACCCCGGGAUCAUGACCUGAGCCGAAGGCAGAUGCUUAAUGACUGAGCCACCCAGGCGCCCCGGAUUUACCUCAUUUUUAAAACAACUUUAUGCAUGGCCUGGGUGUGCCAUAGUUAAUUUAACCAUUUCUCUAUUGAUGCGCAUUUAAGGUUUUUGUGGUGUUUUGCGCCUCCAAACAGUGCUGCAUUAAGCCUGCUUGCAAACAAAUAAAGGCAUUCUGUAUCUGUUUAUCUGCAUAAUAAAUUCUUACAGAUGGAAUUGCUGAGUCAAAAAUUUGUUAGGCCUGACUUUUGUUGGAUAUUACCAAAUUGCUCUCGAAAAAGGAAAUGCUAGGGAAGAAAAGUGCUACCCAAGCUUUAAAACUCAUAUUUCUUGUGAAGAAUUCAGUUUUGAAAGAGAGGGUGGAAAUGAAAAGUCAGCCUGAUCUUUCCUUUUGCUGGGAAUGCUUUUCCUUGCCCACACAUUUUUAGGCAUCAAAUUCUCAGGCUCCUGUCCUCGGUGCUUGGUACAGACAGAAUGUUCUAGAUUUCAAGGCAAAAAUCUGUGUGUGCUUAACUAUCUCUCCACUCCCAGGCCCCCCUGCCCCCCAUUCUCUGAGGGAAGGACUUCUGUUCUCUCUCUAACUUUCAGGAUACAUCGGCCUCAUGCUUUUCUGGAAUGGCCUCUCUUUGCUGCAGAGGUCCAGAUUUCUCCCUGGGGGAGAAAGUCCCACAAGAGCAUCUUCAAGUGGAUAUCUGAAGCCAGGGUCUUGCUAAGCGUCCACCAGCCUGGCCCAGGCCUUUCGGCUCCUCCUUGAAUUCCUCCAGGCCCAGAAACAGCUGGGUGCCGCCAGUGUCCUUCUUUCUGCCUCCAACAAACUGAUUUCCUUUUAGGGAUGACUGCUCCACCAACCCCCAGCCAACCAGGAGCAGAAAACCCGAUGACGAAGAUAAUAAAUUGCGUCCAGGGCCACAGGCGAGGAGGGGGGAGGAAUGACUCAUGAGUCCCUACAUCCUCCUGCUACAUUCCAAGAGCUGCCUUCCUCAGGGCUUAAAUCACUCCCUAAGAGCAACACCCCAACCAGACUGACCAGACGGCGGAGGAAGGCCAGUUGCUGUUUGCUGGCUGGGUGAGGGGGAUGCAGUGAGGGCCCUGGCUGGACUUUUUUUUUCUCUGCGCCAGAUCUUUUGAACCGGCUGGUGACCCUGGCUCCCCCUGGGAAGAAGGCACAGGGCAGGUCUGCUCUCAAGGGGCUCAUGGUCUAGCCUCUAGGGACCCCUGUGCUAUGCCUAGCCCACCGCCCUGGAGGGAGACAGACCUAAUAGUGUGGUGACCCUGGGCGAGUCACUUCAUCUCUCUGAACCUCAGUUUCUCCCCGACAAAAUGGGAAAGAAGAAUUUAGUACUGAUCUUUAGGGUUGUUCGUAAUUAAUGAGGUAAUUCAUGUCCGGUGCUUAGCAUGGAAGCCAGCGCACCUAAAGCACUUAAUACUUGGUAUUUAGUGCCACUGCUACAUUCCUCUUGACAAUUUUGCAAAUAAAAAAUUAGGAAACAUGGUCCGGCUGUGGCUGUCACCCCUGCCGAUGAUCUGUAAUAAUAAUAGUGAACUUUUAUGUGGAGCGUACUGUGUUGUAGGGCUUUAUGUAUGUUGACUCAUUUAAUCCUGCCAGACCCCACGAGUAGCUAUGCAAUAGAUUCUAUUAUUAUUGUCCCCAUCUUCUGCGUGAAUAUACCGAGGCAUGGAGAGGUUGAAGAGCUGGCCCCUAGUUAGUAAAUAACGGAGCCAGGAUUCAGACCCAGGUCGUCAGCUCUAAAAGCUACUUUCUUAACCACUAUUAUCAUCCUGCUUCUCAGUUUAUGUUUGUACGUUUCUAUAAGACCGUUUUCCGAAGUUACAGCAGUUAAGUGACAUUUAUUUUCUUCUUUUUGCUUGCAUUGAGAAAAAUGUUGGUUUUUCUUAUAAUAGCAACAUAGCAUUAUUUAAAAAAUUGAAAAAUACAGAAGAGGAAGGUCAAAGUAUUUGUCUACAGUACUACCACCUGACCAGUGGUCUAGAUAAAGGCUGGUUCUUUUUUGUUUUCUGUACUUUAUGGACAGUGGUAUCCUCCUGUGUGUGACGACUGGGUAGCUCAUGUCACCUGUAACUCUCUGUUUAAGUUUGACAAGAGUCAAGCUGGUCUAUACCCUGCUUACCUGUACGAUUCCUUGGAGCUUGUGCUCGGAUGUUACAGGAAUAGCAAAUUGCUAAAAGUUUCUCAAUUAUUUUCUUGUUUUGUGAAGUGACACAUGGUUCACAGACUCAUGCUGGUCUAUGAAUCAUACUCUAAGCAGCACUGACCUGGACAAACACUGUUUACAUUUUAACAUACUUAUUUCCAGUAUUUUUCUAUGUUUUUUUGUUUGUUUAUUUUUAGUCUGUAUGCACAUUUCUUUUGCUCACUACCCUUCUCAUUACAAUGUUACUGUAAACUAUUCUUGAGUAUAAUCUUUUUAAAAAUUUGUUUGUUGUUUUUAAAGAUUUUAUUUAUUUAUUUGACAGAGAGAGACAGCGAGAGAGGGAACACAAGCAGGGGGGAGCUGGAGAGGGAGAAGCAGGCUCACCGAUGAGCAGGGAACCCGAUGUGGGGCUCGAUCCCAGGACUCUGGGAUCAUGACCUGAGCCGAAGUCAGUCGCUUAACUGACUGAGCCACCCAGUCGUCCCAGUUUAAGUAUAAUCUUUAAUGACAAUAGUAAUAUUCCAUCUGGAAGAUGUACCAUAGAUUACUAACCUAGUCCCUUUUUCAUGGGGUUUGGUAUGUUUCCAGUUAAUUGCCAUGAUAAAAAUAUGAUGGUGAAUAGUUUUAGUAUAAUUACUUUUCCAUAUUUAACAUUAUUGCCAUAGGGUAGAUUUCCUAGUAUGGAAUGACUGGGUCAAACAAUAUAAAGCCUUUUAAAUGUCUUUUUUUUUUUAAGAUUUUAUUUAUUUAUUUGACAGAGAGAGAAUGAGAGAGAGAGAGAGAGCACAUGGGAGGGGGGAGGGUCCGAGGGAGAAGCAGACUCCCUGCCGAGCAGGGAGCCCGAUGCGGGACUCGAUCCCGGGACUCCAGGAUCAUGACCUGAGCUGAAGGCAGUCGCUCAACCAACUGAGCCACCCAGGCUCCCCAAGCCUUUUAAACUUCUUGUUAGAUAUUACCAAAUUACCUUUUUUUUUUUAAAGAUGUUAUUUAUUUAUUAAAGAAAGAGAGCAGGGGAGGGGGAAGAGGAAGAGAAUCUCCAGCAGGCUCCACGUUGAGCGAGGAACCCAAUGCAGGGCUUGAUCCCACAACUGUGAGAUCAUGACCUUUGGUGAAGUCAAGAGUCAGAUGCCCAACCGACUGAACCACCCAGGGGCCCCCCAAAUUACUUUCUAAAAGGGAUGUGCCAAUAUGUGCUUUCCAGAGUAGUCUGAAGUGUGCCUGUUACUACAUCCUUUUCUGCAUUCAAUAUUAUCAUUUAAUUAAGGGACCAAUCUUAAUUAUUUUGAGUUUCUUUGAUUACUGAUGAGGUUGAACAUUUUCCACACUUGUAGCCAUUUAUAUUUACUCUUUGGUUUUAUACCCAGUUGAGCACUAGAAUAAAAUAUUAUGACUUGGCACAGAUUUCACACUACUUUAGACUGGAAGCCAAGUAAACCUGUAUAUAAAGUCUGUAACUGUUGAUGUAUGGUAUCUCCAUUAUUGAGGUCUUUCCCCUUUUCUCUGCUGCCAGAAUUGGGGGAUGCUUUUAUAUGAUCUUUUUUUUUUUUUUUAAAGAUUUUAUUUAUUUUUUCAUGAGAGUGAGAGAGAGAGAGAGGCAGAGGGAGAAGCAGACUUCCCGCAGAGCGGGGAGCCCGAUGCGGGACUCGAUCCCAGGACUCCGGGAUCAUGACCUGAGCUGAAGGCAGUCGCUUAACCAACUGAGCCACCCAGGCGCCCGCUUUUAUAUGAUCUUUAUGGUGGUCCUCAUCUUUAGAAAAAUCCGUCUGAAUGCAUACCUAAUACCAUGUACCAAUAAUGUAGCAAGUAUAUGGUCUGAAUAUUUGUGUUCCGCCCCCACGCCCCGAAUGCAUAUGUUGAAAUCCUAACCCCCAGGUGAUGGGUUAGUCUCUGGGGCCUUCGGGAGAUCAUUUGGGGGAACUUAGUGCCUUGAUAAAAGAGGCUCCAGAGAGAGCCCUUGGCCCUUCCACCAUGGGAGGACAUAGGAAUGGGGUGCUGGCUAUGAACCAGGAAGCAGGUUCUCGCCAGACAUACCCAUGGUGGUACCUCGGUCUUGAACUUCCUAGCCUCCAGCACUGUGAGAAAUGUAUUUCUGUUGUUUCGAAGCCAUACAGGCCAUGGUGUAUUGUUGUAACGGUGCGCAGGGACGGACACAGGGACUUAUUGCCCAUAUGUCCUCGGCUAUGUUUUCUCUCUCCUUUUUCCUUUCUCUCUUUCUCCUUUUGUUUUUUGGACCUAUUUAGGAAGUAUUGCAUGCUAGCUUGAAUGAAUCAGUUUUUUUUUUUUUUUAAAGAUUUUAUUUAUUUAUUUGAGAGAGAGAGAAUGAGAGACAGAGAGCAUGAGAGGGAGGAGGGUCAGAGGGAGAAGCAGACUCCCCGCUGAGCAGGGAGCCCGAUGCGGGACUCGAUCCCGGGACUCCAGGAUCAUGACCUGAGCCGAAGGCAGUCGCUUAACCAACUGAGCCACCCAGGCGCCCUUGAAUGAAUGAGUUUUUGAAACUACUGAUCCAUUGGAAUUUCUGAUGUACUUUUAUGAAUUAUGAGCAAAAUAGGAAGACCUUUUGAAAUCUGGAUGAUUUGGGGAAAUUCUAGAUGCCUGAACUCAAACAUUUAACCGUAUUCCUGUGUAUGUGAGCAGUGUGGGCCAAGCAAGGCCUGAGGAGUGACGAGGCAAUUUGGGCUGGAGUCUAGCACUGAAUGCUCACCUGUAUUUCCCCCAAAGGGACUUGUUGAGGACUUGUUUGCUUUUUAAUAACAUUAGGAGGUAUUUAUCCAUAAGGCAGGGAUAUCUCUGUAUGCCCCAAAGUGUGCCCUUUCAAAGUAUAUGACGAUGGCAGAGUGUAGUGGUAAUGGUGGGACCAAGGUAUUUCCCUGCAGCCGAUUUCCCCCUUGACAAGUCUCGGGUCCCCUCCCUGGCUCAGUAGAUAUUUUUAGACAAUGCAAAAGACCAUAAUUGGAACCUAUAGUGACCUGAUAGGCAAAAUAAUUAAGCUAGCUAAAAUAUGUGGAUAUUAAUGGAAUUUAGAAAGAAAGUUUAUCUAAUUUUAUAUGUAGGAAAGCUCUUUUUUUUUUUUUUUUUAAAGAUUUUAUUUAUUUAUUUGACAGAGAGAGACACAGUGAGAGCAGGAUCACAAGCAGGGGGAGAGGGAGAGGGAGAAGCAGGCUUCCCGCGGAGCAGGGAGCCCGAUGCGGGGCUCGAUUCCAGGACCCUGGGACCAUGACCUGAGCCGAAGACAGACACUUAACGACUGAGCCACCCAGGUGCCCCUGUAGGAAAGCUCUUAAUAAGUGUCCACAAAAAAGCAUACUAUGUUCAAAUUAGUUCAGAAAAGCUAGGUUAAAAGAGCUUCAUUUUUUCCUAUUAAAGCUUAUUACACUCUCUGAUUUUCCAAAGCAGCAGCAAAGUAAGAUAUAGUAUUCAGUUUUUCCAAACUUCUUUUGCCUAUGGGAUCGUAUUUUUCAAGAAGCUCCUACUAACCCCUUGCAAAAUAGUUCUUUGCAGCAUACAACAGACCAUGGAAAAUGCUGGAACCAGGCCAGUUUCUGUGGCAUUGAUGUUCACAUUGGUCAUGAAUCUUGGGGAUCCCUGAAGCUGGGGAUCAUUGUCCUGAAGCACAGAUCAUUUGUGAAAUGGGAGUGAUAGCUCAUACUUUGUAAGGGUUGGUUUUUGUUUUUGUUUUUUUAAAGAUUUUAUUUAUUUAUUUGAGAGAGAGAGAGUGAGAGAGAGCCCAUGAGAGGGGGGAGGGUCAGAGGGAGAAGCAGACUCCCCACCGAGCAGGGAGCCUGAUGUGGGACUCGAUCCAGGGACUCCAGGACCAUGACCUGAGCCGAAGGCAGUCGCUUAACCAACUGAGCCACCCAGGCGCCCAUAAGGGUUGGUUUUUGAAAUGUAGUUCUUCGCCUACCAGCCCUUCUUCAUGUCCGAUGGUAGAUCAAUAACCUUUGGGGAGCAAUAGGGUUGGGAAACCAUGAUCCCACGUCCAGUCUUUAAUGGCACUAAAAGUGUUUCUUCCUCUUACUAAAUAGACCACGAUCAAGGCAGCCCCGUAUGUGGAGACAUUUUACACAUCUCUGGUUAGAGGACAAUAUCGCACAGUCAUUAAGGAGAAUACUCUCUCAGGGGUAUGACCGCCUGUGCCUAAUCCAGCCUUGCCACGGAGUGAACUAUGUGGCUUGGGGCCCUUAGUGAACCCAUCAUAAUCCUUAAGUUCCCUAGCUAUAGGAUAAGGAUAAUUUCACCCGCUAGGAUUGACGUUGGGAAUAAAAAUGCGUGUAAAGUGCUGGGGCGCCUGGGUGGCGCAGUCGUUAAGCAUCUGCCUUAGGCUCAGGUCACGAUCCCAGGGUUCUGGGAUCAAGCCUCUCAUCGGGCUCCCUGCUCAGCAGGGAGCUUGCUUCUCCCUCUGCCUGCUGCUCCCCCUGCUUGUGCUCUCUCUCUCUCUCCCUGACAAAUAAAUAAAUACAAUCUUAAAAAGAAAUGCGUGUGAAGUGCCUAGAGCCCCGGGUGUUAGCCGAGGUCCUGGUGGGAAGAGUUGGCCCACUCUCAGAGCAGUGUGGGAAUGAAGGGACCUUUACAAAGCUGUGGGUGGGGUGGAAGGGAACCAGCGAGGGUGAGGCACCCCAGGACUGACAAGAGCAGGGAACACGGACUACCCUGAGGCCUUCUGGGACAUGGGAACGGGGUGCUGACCCGCUGCUGGGGACAGAGCUGUGGCUGGAGGAGAGUGACAGUCCCUGCCGGUUCAUGGCCCAGCAGGGAGGGGCCCAGGAGUGAACGUUCUACCGCAUCCCAUGACUGAACCCAACCAUGGCAGAGAGGGGAUGUGGAGUGGCAGAUGGAUAGCUCACAUGGGAAGAGCUCAGUUCAUGCUGACUAAUUUUGAUGGGUACUGUGCCAUUCAUUUCCAUUUUGAACUUGGUUACUUACUACCUGUGUCACUUUUGGAAAAUUGAAAAUGACCUGACCUCCUUGUGCCCCAGCUUCCCACUCUCUCCACAGAGGACAUACUAACUGGUGCCUUUCUUGUGACGUCAGAUAACGAGUACCUGUCGGUGCCUGGCACAUAAUGAGCUCUGAGUACAUGUGAAGGGUGGAGCUGUUCCAUUCCACUUUGCCGCACGUAAUGCACGUGUACGCAUAAGAACAAGCUCAUUUUCCUCCGGGGUCUGGCCUUCUAUCUGAAAGCUUAAUACCUUUCUGAUCUCGUGAUUCAGUGGCUGAGUCUCCAUUCCGGACCUCAACCCAGUCCCAGAAACCUGAACACCUUUUUCUGAUGCUUCUGGUAACUUUUCUGUAAUGUACUUGGCACAGCUGAGAAGGUUACUUCUCAGUCCCUCUCUACAGCCCGUGGUUAGCUCUGCCCCUUAAAUCUUUGUGAAGUACAGGUCAUCAAGCCCAAAAGCACAAGUCUCAGCUUCCCACCUCCCUUCCUCCCCACAGAGACCAGUAUGGGGCAGCUCUAAGGUGUGGUUGUCUUUUCUGUUUCCCUUCCCUCCCUUUCUUUUCCAGGGCUUCACUGUGAAACCCCUACUCCAUUCUGCCUUCUGCUUUCCCCCCUCGUCCCCCUCCUCUGCUAUUUCUGUUAAUUAAUUGAGGGAGGAGGGGCAGGAGGAAUCCUCUGGCUUUUUCAGCUUUGUCAUGAGCAGCCAGAGGACUUGGUUUUGAGGUCACCAGGACGUGGAGCAGGGGCCCUGAUUUGUGCGCUAGUGGAUGGGAGGAUACCACGCGACCUUUAAGGACGCUGCUUCCCGGAGGCUUCCACAUGCUGAGGAUAGGAGUGCCCUCCCCUUCCAGUGCCCAGCCAGUGCUUUGAGCAUUUCAGCUAUGCCGGAGGGAUUGGGAUGUGGUGGGACCCAGAGAGUAUCAGCCAAAUACUUGAAGUACGGUGUCAGCAUUUAUGCAGUGGGGAUGGGGAGAAACUGUGAUUUAUAUAAAUAAAGCUAGUAAGCCUAUUUAUAUUAAAACUAGGGGAUUACAUGUGUUUAUUUCAUGUGAGUUUCUGAACUAAGCAAGAUCUUGGAAACACAGUAAAGGAGUUAAAAUUUAGUUAUUCAAACACAUUAUUUAUUCCCACAAAAUGGCUCACAAUGUCUAGGGUGAUUUUAGAAUUUCAGCUGAUCUGGACCUGCUGACUUUAGAUUCCUGUGAGCCGGCUGGUUUCGGGGUUGGUGGCCCUGUGUGGCCUCUAGUUACACCUUGCAGCUUGCAAACAUGUUCACUCAACAUAGCUUUCAGAGUGGAGUCUGCCUUUUUUAUCCCCUGCCACGAAAUGCACGAUCUUCUUUGACAGAAGUGGGACCAAUUUCUAUUUUACCAGCUAUGGAAGAAGCAGAAUGUGGAAACCUGACUUAACUGUUACCAUGUUUCCAAUUUAUUCCAGGGAGUUGUAGCAUUUCUUAUAAACUUGCAUCCCAGGUGGCUGCCCAACUAGCGUAUGAUUUAAUAUGGCUCUUUUUUUUUUUUUAAGUUGGGAAAAUGCUUAGGAGAUGUGCCAAGAUCUCAGUUAUGGCCUAUGUGCAGUGUGUUUAUUCAUUUGUUCAGCAAACACUGGGUAUCAUUCCAGCCUGGAUUACCAUUGGGUCUUGGGGUUGCAGGCUAUAGCAGAAUACUCUGGGGGCACUUGUGCUUGGGGGUGCAGGGCUCAUAAUUUGGGGGGAGAUCAGCUCAUUUGUUGCAGAGAUGCUGGUACAGCAGGGUCCAGUUCCCUGGACGUGCUAAGGAGGGCAUCAGGGUCCAGUCCUAAAGGGCUUCAGGAAUAUGCUCCGUCUGGGCAGACCCAGGAGGAUAAAGAGGGAAAGCCCUUGGUGCUGGAAGCCAGUCCAAAAACUCCAAGUUGCCGGCAGGGAGAACUGCUCUUGGAUCCUAAGUCUUCUGCCGUGGGGCCAUCCCUUCAUGGGUACAGAGACAGCAGCUGGCCAGGGCCUUAUGCCUAUAAUUAGGUGGGGACUGGAGAAGCUGCUGAGAGUGGAAAGAGCACUGAACUUGGCUCCAUUUGGGACCGUGUGGGUGGCCCCGCUUGCUUCCAGCUGUGGAGCUUGAGUCAUCAAGUUCUUUGGACAUGUGGCAGAGCCCGGAGCCACCUCGGUCCUGGCAUCUGACCCUGCCAUCCUCAUCUUCUCUGGAGCUUAAUGAUUCCGUUGUCUGCAGUCACUGAGGAAGGCUGUGGAAGGCCGGGGAGAAGACCCCAUGAUGUAAUUGUCACGGUGCUCACACGGUCCGCGUGGGAGAGUGAUGAGAAUCACUCACCUGUGCCUCGUUUUACGGUUUACGAAGGAGAGACUCGGGGCUGCGUCAGCUACCAGUGGGCACCUGUGUCCCAACCACUCAGCCCCUCUUAGCCUUAGUCUCCUCAUUUAUGAUACAGGGAUGAUAAAAGUUACUGCCUUGCCCAUUUAAUGGGUUUUUCCUUCAAGAGAGUAAAGGAAGGGGCGGGAAGCAGAAUGGGACACACUAGAAAGUGGGGCUGGGACAGGCCUGGAGGAAAGGCCAAGAAUAAAAUGUUCGACUUGAGUAGCAGGUGAGAUGGCCACUUAAAAUUUCACAGUGUCUCUGGCAAAUCGUAUAGUAAUUAUGUUUUCCCUGAUUACAUAAGGAACACAUGCUUAGAGUAAAAAAUUUAGGAAAAAAUAUUAAGCAUAGAGACAUGUUAAAAUAAACCCUAGUCUUUUUCACUGUUAAUAUUUGGAUAUGUUUUCUUUUCUUGCGUCGUUCAUAUACCUACUAUUUUAACCGACUGAGCCACCCAGGCACCCCUCAUAUAUCUACUAUUUUAAUAAAAUUAGAAUCAUGCUAUAGAUUCAUUAAUGAGACCCAGGCUCUUUAAAUGUAAUUUCCACAUAUAUAUGUUUUUAGCUUUGUUUUUACAAAACUGGAAUCAUACUGUUUAUCAGUGAGGGGUCUCCAGAGAAACAGAACCAAUUGGGGAUAUAUAUAUGUAUACGUAUUUAUACCCAUACACUUAUAUGCUCAUAUACAUAUGCAUAUACAUAUCAAGAGGUACAGAUACACACAUGCACAAACACAUGUAUAAGGAGAUAUAUUUUAAGGGGUUGGUUCACAUGAGUCUAAAGGCUGGCAUGCCUGAAAUCUGAGGCAGCAACUUGGGAACUCGAGUGGAAGUUAAGGCUGCAGUCUUGAGGCCAAAUUCUAUUGUCUUAGGGAAAUCUCAGUUUUCACUUGUAAGGCCUGCAGCUGAUUAGAUGAGGCCCACCUACACUGCAGAGUGUACUUUCCUUUACUCAAAGUCAGCCAGUUGUAGAUGUUGACUACAUGUACAGAACACCUUCACAGCAGCAUCUGGUGUUGGAUUCAAUAACUGGGUACUAUAAGCUAGCCCCGUUGAUACAUAAAACUGACCAUCACAUACCACAUACCCCAAUUGUAUUUUGAUUGUUUUACUUUGCAUGUCGUGAAUAUUUUUCCAUAGCAUGAAACAUUUUAUAAGAACUUGAUACUUACUGGUUUUUUCACCCAAUGACUUGACCAUGAUUUAUUUAGGAACUUCCAGUUGUCAAAUAUUUAGGUUUUAUCAAGUUUUCCUAUAGCUUUAACAUCAUGAUAGACAUCUUUGGGUGCAUUUUCUUUUCUUCUCUUUUUCAAGAUUUAUUUUUUUACGGUGGGGAGGGGCAGAGGGAGAGGGAGAGAGAAAAUCUCAAGCAGACUCUCUGCUGAGCGCAGAGCCCGAUGCGGGGCUGGAUCCCACAACCCUGAGAUCAUGACCUGAGCUGAAACCAAGAGUCGGAUGCUCAACCAACCAAGUCACCCAGGUGCCACAGUGCAUUUUCUUUUUACAUAUUCCUUAUUAGUUCCUAGAAUAUAUCAUUGAUGGGGAAUUAGUGGGUCAAAGGUUAUGGAGAUUUUAAGGCUUUUGAUAUACAUUGCUAAGUUUUCUCUAGGACCAUGCUUUUCAGGCUGGAAUCCCUGCACUGGCAUAGCUGGGUCGCUCCUGAGAAAGGCAGAUUCUUGGGCCUUUCCCUAGACCUACUGAAUCAGAAUCUGGAUUUUAGGUAGAUCCCCAUGUGACUUGUAUGCACCCCACAGUUUGAGAGGCACUGCCCAAGAAAAUCUCUACCAUGCUAGGGUCUGAAUGUUGGUGUCCUCCAAAAAUACAUCUGUUGAACCCCUAAUGUCUGAUGCAAUGUUAUUAGUAGGUGGGAACUUAGGGAGGUGCUUAUGUCAUGAGGGUGGAUGAAUGGGAUUAGUCCCUCAUAAGAGGCUCCAGAAAGAUCCCUCGCCGCUUCCGUCGUGUGAGGACAUAGGGAGAAGGGAAGAGCUAUGAACCAGGAAGAAGGCCCUCACCAGUGAACUUGACCUUGCUGGUGCCUUGAUCUUGGACUUCCAGCCUCUAGAACUGUGACCUAUAAACUUCUGUUGCUUCUAAGCCACCCAGUCUUGGGUAUGUUGUUAUAGGAGCCUGAAUGGACUGAAAUAUACCAGAAGUAUAUAGAGACUUGUUUUACUUCACUCUCAUCAAAACUGGGCAUUGUGUUUUUCUCUUUGUUAAUUUGCUACCCCCAAAUGAUAUUCUGUUGUUGUUUUGAUUUUUGUAACAAAUUGAUUGAAGAGGCGGGCUACUAGAGGCAUUCAACCAGGAAAAACUUUUUUUUUUUUAUUUGAGAGAGAACGAGAGACAGAGAGCAUGAGAGAGGGAGGAGGGUCAGAGGGAGAAGCAGGCUCCCCGCCGAGCAGGGAGCCCGAUGCGGGACUCGAUCCCGGGACUCCAGGAUCAUGACCUGAGCCGAAGGCAGUCGCUUAACCAACUGAGCCACCCAGGCGCCCAAGGAAAAACUUUUUAUUUUGCAAGCACAGCCUUAAAAUAUGCCCUGUGGUAUCUUAGGUGGAUUGCAUGACUUUCCAGUCUCUUCCAGCUAGCAGGGCAGUCUCAUUUAGGUCAUUAUGUAGGUGUGGCGGUCUAGUCCGGUCUGAAAUCAACACUGCAGUUUCCCGUCCAACUCCGUGCUCCGCCCCCGCCGCGUGCUUGGCUUCCCCCGACCCAGGCACCCGUGGUGGGGCCCGGGGGAGUGGCCGGUGGGCCUGGCGGGGCCUUUCACAUGUGCGGCGCCACCUCCUCCUGUUGCUACUCUCCGUGGCAGGGGUGCGGAGGACUAUGUUGAGAAGGGACAAGAGUCUUCCAGUAUUCGUGCUAUCAUAAUACUCUCCCGAUUACUGCUGGCUUGCUGGCUCAUGGCUGAUGCCCCGUGUUGGCUUCUUCAGAGGCCCCCGUAAGGAAUUUUUAAAGAGCUCUUCAGUGUGGUUAGCUGGGUUGGGAUUUCAGCCUCCGGAGCCCACGAUGCGGUGGCCUGCCCUGACAUGUGUUAAAAUAAUGGCGCUCAGGACAACUAUUGCUGUCACCCACAGAGAAACCUGAUGACAUCUGUUUGGACUCCCCACAAAUGACAGCAAAGUGAACCAAAAAUUCUGAUGUUUCAAAUGUAUGCAGCUGAUUAGACUAUGGAAGGAUCAGCUCCUGUGGAGGUUGGAACCAUCUUUUGUCUUUUUUUUUUAAGGCUGAUUCCUGAGGCCUCAAUUGUGCAUUGGAUAUCUUCAGGAAAAAAUGGUGACUCCAUCAGGCAUUGCAGGUGGAAUGGACGCUAGGGGAAGGCUUUAGAAAUACGGACUGUUAGUCUUUGGAGUUGCAGAGCUUGUCUCCUCUAAGGGAUAUUCUUCAAGGUUUCAUUUAGAUCAUGCUUGGUGAAUCAAAAAUUCUUUCCAGUCAGCUUUUCUUUUCUUUUUUUUUUUCCUCGGCGGGAGAGAGAGGAAGAGUGGGAGGGGGCCAGCAGGGCAGGGGGAGAGGGAGAGAGAGAGAAUAUUAAGCAGGCUCCACGCCCAUUGUGGAGCCCCACUCAGGACUCGGUCUCACGACCCUGAGAUCAUGACCUGAGCCAAAAUCAAGAGUUGGACGCUUAAUGGGCCAAGCCACCCAGGCGCCCCUCCAGCCAGCUUUUCAAGUUGUCUUCUAAAAUCAGGAAACUAUAACUAUUCACUUCGCGGCUUGCUUCGGCUCCAGGUACAGGUCACCAUUCCCAGGGUUUUUUCUUCCCUCUUGGUUGCUUUCAUCCCCUCCCGGAUGUUCCCAGCUGCCCAAAUGAUCCACAGCACGACGUCCUCACAGCCUGGAGUGUUGGCUUCUGCCUGUGUCAUCCUCACUCAGGGUAUGCACCUCUUAGUCCCCUUGAAGGCCCUUAGCAUGAGGGCAGUGCUAAAUCCAAGGGAGCAGAGCCCCAGCAGAAGGCUUUGCGGUGUGGAGUGCUGGUGGUUGGAGGCCUUUCGGCACCCGAGCCACCUCGUAGAGAACAGGUCUUCCUGCUGUCCAGUCCAGCUACCUUCCACUGCUAAAAUAAAUCUGCCUAAAAUAUGGGCUUCUAUCCUGCUCCAGAAUCUGCCAGGACUCCCCAUCCUUCUAAAAGAUAAAGUAUAAAUUCCUCAGUCCAGCUUUUAAGACCUCCAGUGUCUGAAUUAUUUUCCUUUGCUUCCUCAUGUGCACCUGCUGCUGAUUGUCUUCACACACGUCGGGCCAAUAUGAAGGUCUGUGCCUUUGCUCAUGCACGCCUCUCUACCUCCCACCCCCCACUCGCCCAGCGCUGCUAGUUAAACCCAGCUGCUGUGGCCCCCACUGUGCCAUCCCAUGUCUGGCCCUGCAGCCCUUCCUGUCAUAGCAGUGAACCCUGGCUCGUAUGCCUUCUGGUAUGUCUGAUUGUUUCAUGUUUUGGAUUGGCUUCCUUGACUUGAUUAGGAAUUUCUGGUUUGCAGUGACCAUGUCUCUCCUUGUCUCAGUGCCUUCCUGGCCAAACACACAGACCAUACUCGGUUAUGCCCCUUGAUUGAUUGGGAUAUGGCAGCCUGGUCAGCUGGCCUGUGGUGCCGUUUCACUGAGUAGGGGACUGCUUGAGAGCUGGUCCCGGGCUUUCCAGCCCUGCACAUCCCCCUAAGCUGUGGGUUUCUGAUGGGAAGCUUGGGGGGUGGUUCCUUGAGAAGCUAGGUGUAGAACAUGGCCUGCCUUGGAAUCCUAGCUGAUGAGCUCUGGAAACUUCAUUUCCUCAUCUACGUAGUUCAGAUCUGUUCACUUAAUAAAUAUGUAUUGAGUGCCUACUAUGUGCCAAGAGCUAUUUUAGGAGUUGAGAGUAUAGCACUGAGUAGGAUAGAGAUCUGAACAAUGCGAGAGGGCCAGCAAUGUGACAAUCUUGGGAGUAAACGUUGAGGAAGGAGGGCUCAGUAGGUACAACUGCAGAAGUUCAAGGAACUAGCAGGAGGCCCACAAUGGCUGAAACAUGGAGGUCGAGGGGAGGCUGGCAGGAGAUGGGGCUGGGAGUUGGGCCCAGGCUGGAUUCCCCAGGGCCUCACAGGGCCAUCAGAAAAUGCUGUGCGUUCUCCCCAAAGACUUAUGGGGAGCCAAUAGAGGAUUAUAGCAGGUGAGCAACACAAUCUGGUUUUAAUUAACAGAGCCUGCUUCAUUGAACAUAAACUACAAUUGAAUGAGAUAGUGCACGUAAGGUGCCUAGUGGUGUGCCUGGUACACAGUAAGUGCUUGAUAAGUAGUAAUUAUUAUUUUCCUAUUGUGGAGAAAAAUGGUUACCUCCUAUAGUUUGACCUUAAAAGAUGAAGUUUGUGAUAGGCUGACGAAUGGCGCGCCCAGGACGUCCAUGUCCUAGUCUCCGGAACCUGUACGUACAUUAGCUUGCAUGGCAAGGGAGAAUUGGGGUUGCAGGUGAGAUUAAGAUUGCUAACCAGCUGACCUUAAAAUAGGGAGAGCAUCCUGGAUUAUCCAGGUGGGUCCAGUGUAAUCGCAUGGGUCCUUAAAAGUGAAAGAGGGAGGCAGAAGAGAGUCCGAGGGAGACAUGACCAUGGAAGGUCAGAGAGAUGCACCAUUACUGCCUUCGAAGAUGGUGUAGGGGCCAAGAACCAGAAAUGCUGGAGGUCACUGGAAGCUGGAAGAGGUGAGGCAAUGGAUUCUCGCCGAAAGCCUCCCGAAGGGAAUGCAGCCCUGCCAACAUCUUGAUUUUAGCCCAGUGAGACCCAUUUCGAUUUCUGACUGCCGGACUUGUAAGAUAAGAAAUCUGUGUUGCUUUUAGCCACGAAAUAUGUGGUGAUUUGGUACAGCAGCAAUAGGAAACGGAUACAAGGAUUUUACACCAGGUACUCUAACCUCCAGGUUAGUACGCUCCAAUAUGACCUAUGACCCGUGAAUUUUUAUUUUUUUAUUUUUUUUUAAGAUUUUAUUUAUUUAUUGACAGAGAGAGACAGCGAGAGAGGGAACACAAGCAGGGGGAGUGGGAGAGGGAGAAGCAGGCUUCCCGCCGAACAGGGAGCCUGAUGUGGGUCUCGAUCCCAGGACCCUGAGAUCAUGACCUGAGCCGAAGGCAGACGCUUAGCGACUGAGCCACCCAGGUGCCCUGACCCAUGAAUUUUUAAAUCACGGUUUCAUUCACUGUCUAUUGCUUGGCAUCUGUGCUUUGGGGGAGUUGACCAGCUAGGAGACUUGGUGUUUUCUGUAACCUCUAGGGGUACCAAAUUCCAUAUGUGCCUCUAGGUGGCACGUUACAACCUUCAAGCACACUGGCAAAGCGAGUCCUGCUUUUCAUGGAUCUAGAAGGGCAAGGGGAGCUACAGAGCUCAAGGUAAGAGAUUGGGCUCUCAGCUCCAGUACCCUCAGGCUAGGGGACCCAGGAACAAGGACCUGCAAGGAGGCUGGGGUUGCCUUGCACUGCCCCCCCCCCCCAAGUCCCUCCAUCUGCCUUUUCCCAGUCUUCAGGGCCCAGUCCCCAGGCCGCCUCCUCCAUGAAGCACCCCAGCCCACCAGCCCACAGGAAGUAGUCACUCUGAGACUUGGCCCCUCCCCUGGCAUGGGCUCUGGGCCCCGCCCGCUCCGGUACUCAAGCUGUGCUUAUUUUCCCUUUACUAACCAUCAGGUGCUGUCAGAGAGAAGUUGAGAGUAUAGCACUGAGUAGGAUAGAGAUCUGAACAAUGUGAGAGGGCCAGCAAUGUGAAGAUCUUGGGGGUGAAUGUUGCAGAAGGAGGGGUCAGUAAGUACAACCGCAGAAGUUCAAGGAACUAGAAGGAGGCCCACGAUGGGAGAAGUUGAGAGAGAGAGAGAGAGAGAGCCCGGAGGCAGGCCCCAGGCCAGGCAUACAUUUAGGGGCUUAGCAGUGCCUGCAGGUUGAUUGGUUGGGGCUGGAUACAAAGGGUUCAUAGGCAAGGGCUUUUUACUUUAUCCUUUUAGGGAAAUUCAUUCUCUCCAGUUGGUUCUCCUCUUCCUUUUGGAGACAUUGUUAGAAAAAUCACAGCCACAGAGGCUCAGUGCCUGCACCAACCCUUCCUUCACACUGCGGCUGCCAGAACAUUCGCUCCAAACCCUACCUCUGACCUAGUCCCUCCUCCUACCCACCCCAUCUAUAGCUGUGGUUUCGAAUGUUUAAAUAAGAGCAAUCAUAAUAUUUAGCAAAAUCACUAGAGAAUCUUCUUGGUCAGUGAAAUAACAGCCUAUAAAACUGAAAGGCAGGAUGCAUAUGAAGUGUGUGGACUCUGGCCUCAGACAGACUAGGUUCAAAUCCAGGCUCUACCACUUAGUUGUCUGAGCACGCUGUGCCUCAGUUUCCUCUUCCGUAAAAUGGGGACGCUGAUAGUACCUAGCUCAUGGGCUUGUUGCAGAAAUCCUAUGUCACAAGGUACGAACACAGAAUUUUUUUUAAAUUACAUUUUAUUUUUUCAAAUAGUUUUAGAUUUACAGAGAAAUUGUGAGGAUAGUGCAGAGUUCCCCUAUGCCCUGCACCUGUUUUCCCCUACUGUUGACAUCUUACAUUAGGGUGCACAUUUGUUACAAGUAGUGAACCAAUAUUGAUACGUAACCCUUAACUAAGGUCCGUACUUCUUCAGAUUUUUUUGUGUGUUUACCUAAUGAUGCGCUUUUCUGUUCCAGGAUUCUAUCCAGGAUAGCGUGUUACAUUUAAUUGUCCCACCUCCUUAGGUUCCUCUUGACAAGUUCUCAGACUUCCCUUGUUGUUGAUGAUCUUGUCCGUUUUCGGGGGUCCCGGUGUUUCAUAGGGAUUCUGCAAGAUGUCCCUCUAUUGGAAUUUGAUGUUUUUCUCCUGCUUAGAUGGAUUGAGCACAGACAUUUGAAGUCAGUGGGUCAUGGAUGGCUACUGUACUGUUCUGUUAGCCUCAGCAUCCAUGAAAUUAAAGUCAAAUGUCUGUGGGAAGCCUCAAGCACAGGUUGGAAAAUCACAAUGGGGAAGAUGAAGUCCACGCGCCUGGGUGUGGCCUUCCAGGCCCUCUGUCCUCCCCGCCCACUUCCCCAGUCUCCUCCCCCUGCUUCUCCACAUCCUCCGAAGAGGUCUAGACUUUGAGUCAUGUUCCUUCUUCUACCUGGAAUGCCUUCCCUCUUUUCUCUGCCCCAGUAAUUCCUGGUCUCUAAGAAAAGACUCUAAGGUCCAGUUAAACAUGUACCUCCUCCCUGAUGCCUCUCCCGCUUUCCCUAAGACAAGUAGCACCGUUGCCGGGGUCUCCACAGAAGUUGGCACAUCUCUUCUUAGAGUGUCCUUCUUGGGUCACAUCUCUGCCUCUUCCUCCAGACUGGAAGCUUCUUGAGAGCGGCAACUGGACCAUAAUCCUUUUUCCUCAUGCCCAUGGUGGGGCCUGGCACACAGUAGGUGCUCAAGAGAUGCUUAACCAACGACAGGCAUUGUAGAGAGGUGCUGUAUCUGUAACUGCCUUGAUGCAGAUCAUGUUGCUUUUGUCCUCAAAAUGUGAGCUACCCCAGUGGGUGACGGAUGCCAGUGGUGAGCCCUUGGGUGGAAAGGCGCUUUCUCCGGGCCCCAAAGGGGUGUGAGAACGCAGUGUGAACAUGGAAAGGGCCAGCAGGGGGCUCUGGGAAGUAGUUCAUAAGCCCUGCCCGAGAGGAAGGCUCAGGAGUGGCUUCUGCAGCAAGCCUUGGGUCCGACAGGAUCCACAAAGAAAGUGUGUCAAAAGAGAGGUCUGUUUUGCUACUGACGUGCCAGGCUCUGUACCAAGGACAGGAUGUACCAGCCUGUUCUGAAAACAUGUGUGGGCCCCGGUCGAGCUCUUUCUCCCAGAGGUCUCUGCCUGCAGAAAUUGGGACAAAAGAUACUGAUAGCUAAGAAAUAAUGUUUGCAGAAGCAAAUGAUCUUGUUAUAGCCAAGAGCAGACCUGCACUUCAUUCACAUUUCCCAAUUUCUGCUUCCACUUCAGCGUUAAUUUUUCUCCUUGGAUCAGAAACUCUUAAUGGCCAUUCCUAAAAGCCAAGAUUAUCACUGAGACGUUGGAGCUAAAAUUUCCAGGCUUUUUUUGAAUUCUGUGAGGAGGGGGAAAGAAAAAUAGCUGAGUUAAUUUGAGAUAAUGAAGCUUGAAUUAGAAAUUGCUCUCUGGGGUCAAUAACAUCUAUUAUGUUGUUCUUGUGGCUGAUACUAUUAACAGUAGUAGUAGUAACAAUAGGUCUCGUGUACUGAGUGCCUACUCCAUGCCAACGUUGGGAUGGAGACCUCUGCCCAUGCCAGGCAUUGGCCUUGGGGCAUCCAAGGGAAUUAGACCGGCAUCAUCCCUGCCCAUUCUGCCACAGAGAUAUUAGCUCCACUUCAUAGACAAAAACUGAGGCUCGGCACAUUGAUUUGUUAAGGCUUCAAGACCGGACCCCUUCUCAAUCCCCUAAACACACCCCAAAAGGAUCUAAAAUGUUUGUUAAUCUUAACACAUGAUGAGAGGAAGGGAAGGGAUAAUCACACAAGGCAGAAAUGUAUAGACAUUACAAGUAAAUCCAUCAUUAAUGAUAAAAAGAAUGAUGUCUUACUGUUCUGGGGCCAUGAACUUCCUAGCCUUCAGGAUAGAUGAAUGAGAAUACAGGGGAAUACUGUUAGAAUGUAACACUGUCUAUACUCAAAGGACUUUUAUACUUUAACAAAAAAGUUUAAAAAGCAAAGUUAUGAUGGAUCCUCUAAACUCACACUUUAAGUUUUUAUUUUCAUCACCUGGUGCUCAUCAAGGACAAGUGCCCUCCUUAAUCCCCAUCACCUGUUUUGCCCCCCCCCCCCCCAACCUCCCCUCUGGUCACCAUCCAUUUGUUCUCUAUAGUUGAGUCUGUUUCUUGGUUUGUCUCUCUCUCUUUCCCCUCUUUUGCUCAUUUGUUUUGUUUCUUAAAUUCCACAUGAGUGAAAUCAUAUGGUAUUUGUCUUUCUCUGACUUACUUCGCUUAGCAUAAUACUAUCUAGAUCCAACCAUGUCAUUGCAAAUGGCAAGAUUUCAUUCUUUUUUAUGGCUGAAUAAUAUUCCUCUGUGUGUGUGUGCGCGUGCGCACACCACCUCUCCUUUAUCUAUUUGUCAGUCAAUGGAUACUUGCCCUGCUUCCAUAUCCUGGCUAUUGUAAACGAUGCUGCCAUAAACAUUAGGGUACAAAAAAAUAAACACUGGGGUGCAUGUUUCCCUUUGAAUUAGCCUUUUCAUAUUCUUUGGGUAAAUAUCUAGUGAUGUGAUUGCUGCAUCAUAGGACAGUUCUAUUUUUAAUUUUUUGAGGAGCCUCCAUACUGUUUUCCAGAGUGGCUGCACCAGUUUGCCUUCCCACCAACAGCACAUGAAGGUUCUUAUUUCUCCGCAUCCUUGCCAACACUUCUUGUUUCCUGUGUUUUUGAUUUUAGCUACUCUGACAGGUGUGAGGUGAUAUCUCAUUGUGGUUUGGAUUUGCAUUUCCCUGAUGAUGAGUGAUGUUGAGCAUCUUUUCAUGUGUCUGUUGGCCAUCUGCCUGUCUUCUUUGGAGAAAUGUAUGUUCAUGGCUUCUGCCCAUUUUUUAAUUGGAUUAUUUGUUUUUGGGGUCUUGAGUUAUAUCCGUUCUUUAUAUAUUUUGGAUACUAACCCUUUAGCAGAUAUGUCAUUUGCAAAUAUCUUCUCCCGUUCAGUAGCCUGCCUUUUAGUUUUGUGGAUUGUUUCUUUUGCUGUUCAGAAGCUUUUGAUUUUGAUGUAGUCCUGAUUAUUUUUGCUUUUGUUUCUCUUGCCUUAGGAGACGCAUCUAGAAAAGUGUUGCUACAGCCCAUGUCAGAGACGUUACUGCCUGUGCUCUGUUCUAGGAUUUUUACGUUCAGGUCUCCUAUUUAGGUCUUUCAUCCAUUUUUGAGUUUAUGUUUGUGUAAGAAAGUGUCUUGUUUCAUUCUUUUGCAUGUCACUGUCCAGUUUUCCCAACACCAUUUGUUGAACAGACUGUCGUCUUUUUUCCAUUUAAACAAUGGAAAUACAAAUUUCCUGCUUUGUUGAAGAUCAGUUGGCCAUAUAUUUGUGGGUUUGUUUCUGGAUUUUCUAUUCUGUUCCAUUGAUCUAUGUGCCUGUUUUUGUGCCAGUACCAUACUGUUUUGAUUACUAUAGCUUUGUAGUAUAACUUGAAGUCUGAAAUUGUGAUAACCUCGUUUCUUUUUUCUCUUUCAAGAUUGCUUUGACUAUUCAGGGUCUUCUGUGGCUCCAUACACAUUUUAGGAUGGUUUGUUCUAGUUCUGUGAAAAUGCUGUUGCUAUUUUUUUUUAUUUAUUUUUAUUCUUAUGUUAAUCCCCAUACAUUACAUCAUUAGUUUUAGAUAAAGUGUUCCAUGAUUCAUUGUUUGUGCACAACACCCAGUGCUCCAUGCAGAGUGUGCCCUCCUCAAUACCCACCACCAAUGCUGUUGCUAUUUUAAUGUGGAUUGCAUUAAGUGUGUAGAUUGCUUUGGGUAGUACAGACAUUUUAACAAUAUUUGUUCUUCCAACCCAUGUAAACUCCCAUGUUUUAAGAGACAGACUCCACCUCCUCCUCAGGGUUUUGACCCAGCUGCACGUGAUCCUCCCUCAGCUCUCCUCUGUUUGGGCCCCUCAAUUAUGAUUAUGCUCCCACGAGGUGCCUAUCAGGUGGCUCCCUGUCCCGAAGGUUCUUCCAUCAUUUCUAAGGAUGAGAAUCCUAAAUGGUAAAGUCCAGAACCAAACUUAGAGAACACUUGAGCCCCCAGCUGAAAGACAUUAAUCGUCCACGGACAGCUUUCUUAAACAAAAGAGAAUUUGUAACCGGAGAGCAAAGCAAUUUCUGCUCAGAGCCGUGACUAAAUGAGGAUGUGCAAAAACCAUUUGGACUUUUGUCCCACAUGAUAGCCUCAGUCCCAGUAUAGGCACUGUGGUUCCCAGGACCGGGUGUGCACCAUGCCCUUGGCUGGGCCCCAUGGGGUCUGCGGGCCACUUGGCAGCCCUGCCUGGCACACCCUCAGCCAAGUUCACUUCCCUGAGCGCAAGACUCGCCCGUGCCAGCACGGAGCUAUUAAUUAUUUUUCUUUGUCAAACCUUUGUCAGCAACUUCAUCCCAAAAGUAGUGGUUUAUUUUCCCUUUGGCAGUGUUUGCGACUCUAGUAAAUAAGAGAUAAUUAUACUCCAGUUUUAAAAUUAAAACAGAAAAGCUAGAGAUGCAAGUGAAGAAUUAUUUACAUUUUACAGCAGCCUACUUCCCUGGUCAGAGAUUCAACAGAGUCAGUUUGCUGUGUUUUAUGAGGACUCCGAGGGGUUUGAGUGGUUUACGUGUUAAAUUUUUAUCUUAAGAGGCCUGAAACUCCUGAUCUUUUGCUUCGAGGUAACCUUCAGCACCAUUCUAAAUUCUGUUGUGUUUUAGUCCCUCUGAAGGAAUUUAAGGUUCUAAAACUGCGAUUAAAAUGUGGGAGCUGAAGGAAUCGCAAGAUGAAACGAGAGCACAGGGCAGCAUUUGGAGCUGGUUUGGUUGCAUGGUGACCUUCCUGUGUGCAUAAUGCUCCGAUUUGGCAGCUGGGGAGAAAGCCGGACUUGUCUUGUGGCUGCAGAGAGUUUCCUUUUCUUUUUUUCUUUUUUUUGGUCGCCUAGUUUGUGCUUGGAAAGUGAAAAUAGAUUCAAACGCGUCCUGCCAAACAUUUGAUCUUGUUGUCAUAGGAAGUGAAAGGAAUUGUGAGAAGGAAUUUUAAAAAUGGAAUUGGAUUUCUAAUUUUGUUUGGCCAGUGGCCCCAUGUGCGGGGCGGAGAGGUGCUGGGGGCGGGGGGGUUAGCCUCCCGGAGGGACGUUGAGGAGCCUCUCUCCACUGGGCCUCCAGCUCUGCUAUGUGAAGGCUUUGGGAGGAGAAGAUACCUUCCGCUUACAUCAGAGGAACGAAUACUCAGAUUCAAGGGCCGUGUUCUUUUCAGAGCCUAAGACUGGGCCCAGGAGCCUGCCUGGACACUGGCAGGCUGGCCUCGCUCCCUGCUUUUUGCCUGCCUCCCCACUGAUGGGGUGAAGUGUGGAGGGCCGGAGGGCAGUGCCGAGGACCUCACCACUUGGGGGGGGAUUUACUUCUGACAAGUGAGCUGUUGGCUGCUCUGAUAUGGGUGGGCAUGGGAGCCCUGGAAAUCUCUGAAUACUCCCAACAGGCCCCUGGGGCCCCUGGAGCAGAGACGGAAUGAGAAACUGGAAACCAGGUUUCCAACACAGUGGAGUGGGCAGAGUCAAGUUUUGUGUGCUAUAGGCUCAGCUUUCUCCUAGGCCUUGGCUUCGGUGAAUCAUAGGAGAAAGCCUUAUUUUGACAAGGCAGCCUUUAAGACAUACCAACCCCUUUGACGAUUAAGUGGUCUUGCCUUCCCCAUCCCCACCCCCCCCCCCCACCCCAGAUGUGCUCUGCUAACCUGGCAGCGCUCCCUGAUGUCAUCAAUACUGAAAUUUAUUUGGAGGGAUGAGGAGAGUUUUAGCCGAUGGGAAGCAACAGCCAGUGUUGACUCCCAAGGGGGAUCAGCCUUUACAUCAUCUGAACCGAAGACGUUUUCUGGAGUGCAGUGUAUAUUAUCACAGAUCUUAAUUUCAGGCAUAGAUGUUAGAAUAAUUUCAUUGUGAAAUAUGGUGCUAGUAAAAUUCAGCAUUAGCAUGAGCAGUCAAUAAUUCAAACUUUUAUUUGCUCUCAUGUCGAAGGGAUAUCUUUCUGCUCCCGUUCAGCCAGGGGGCAAAAAAGAGUGAGAAAUCUAGCAUUUUGCUGAUAAUAGUACUUCUUGGCGCCCCCCCCAAUUAAUUUUUUUUCUUAAAGAAGAAGCGUCUGAUUUAUUAGGUCUCUGAAAUCCACGAGAGUCCUGCAGAGCUUCCUGGAUCUUUGCGGAGAGGCUCUUGGCCUCUGCUGUUGGCGCUAUUCUAGGCAUGCCUUAUUAGGGGCAGAAAGUUUGGGAACUUAGGAGAACUGUUUAUAACGUCCAUUUGUUUCCCCUGUCAACAUCUUAAUGCCACGCCGAACGGGCUGCUUUGGCACGGUGGUCUGAAGUGGAAUGACUGAGGGGGGGAUUUUUCCCCUUGGCGAAACUGAUCCACUAGCCUGUGUGCCUAGCUUUAGAAGGAUUUUCAUCUGUAGAAUAAAUUCGGCCCUUAUGAACAUAAAUGGCUCUGCCACCCUUCGGCAGGCAGAUGGAGCAUGUGCUUCACAUUAUUGAUUCAAGGCAGCAUUAGGGCUGGUGGAAGCAACUUUUUUUUUUUUUAAAGAUUUAUUUAUUUAUUUGAGAGAGCGAGAAAGAGAGAGAGAGAGAGUACAUGAGAGGGGGGAGGGUUAGAGGGAGAAGCAGACCCCCCGCCGAGGAGGGAGCCCGAUGCGGGACUCGAUCCCGGGACUCCAGGAUCAUGACCUGAGCCGAAGGCAGUCGCCCAACCAACUGAGCCACCCAGGCGCCCCAUGGUGGAAGCAACUUUUAAGAAAGCAGGGUCUGCACAGCCCCAUCUUGCUUCCAGGUCCAAGGCAGUCUUAAAAUUGUCCGGGGUUUGGGAGCAGCGCCUUCUGAUGGGAAUGCUGUGUGACACGAACCUUGCCAAAAACGAAUGGAUCAUUUACAGGAAAUAAGAAGUUAAAGAGGAGGAUGAGUCAGUAGACUUCAAAGCUCGCUCGUUUCCACAGAACUUAAAUAAUGAAUAACAAAAACUGAGGAUUUCACAGACAGUUUACACAGCUCUCGGUGCAGCUGGGACCUUCACCCCGGCUCCAGUGCUGUCUGCUUCCAGGAGGUUCCCUACUGCCUCAGGAAGGAAAAGAAGAUAAGGAGGAAGGAAGGACAGAAAGGGAGAGAGAGAAGGGAGGGAAUGGAAAUGAAAGAAGGGAAGUGAUCUUGAAAGGGAGAAGAACGAUGGACGGAUGGACGGAUGGACGGAUGGAUGGAUAGAUGGACGGACGGAUAGAUGAUUGGAUGGAUGGGAAAAGAAAGGGAGGGAGGGACUGAAGGAAGGAAGAAGGAGAAGGGAAGGAGAAAGGGGGGCAGAGGAGGAGGGCCGAUCAGACGGUGGGUAGUUAAGUCUGAUUUUGCACAAAUACAUUUUGUGUGGCAAAUAUCCUGGUACAUCUGUCAUGUGGAUCUCUGUUUAGCUGAUUACUAAAGUCAGAUAGAAUUGUGUAUUUUUUUUUAAAUGCCACUGAGUCAUUUCUGAGCUCAUAGACAAGGAGUUUAAGGAGUUCUAUUUUGGAACUACUUAUAAUGGAGAACUGUAUUUGAGAAAACCAGGGGCUGGUUCAGAUUAUAAGCACAGUGCAAACGUCUGUCACUUUAAGGAAACUUGCAUAUCAAUGAAACAGACCGAUUAGGGAGAUUUAUGCAUAUUAUAAAAACCUUUUGAUUCAGCAAUUCCACUUUUAUGAGUUUAUUCUUAAGAAAUCAGUGGACAUCAUAUAUGAUUGGACACCAAUCCUAUGGUAUAGCCGGUAGUAAUAUACUUUAUAAUGUCAUUAAAAAUACAACGCAGUUGUAUAUUAUUGACAUGGAAUGAUUAUAUUAUAUAUAUAUUUGCAUUGAGCAAAAUCUGGGAAUGCAUACCUAAAAUGUUGACCGUGAGUAAGUCUGGAAGGUAGGGUUUGGAGUGAUUUUAAUUUUUCCGUCUGUGUUUCCUAAUUUAUUUUCUACAGUGAGUAUGUAUUACUUGCCUAAUAUAAAAAUAAUUGGGGGGGGCGCCUGGGUGGCUCAGUUGGUUAAGCGGCUGCCUUCGGCUCAGGUCAUGAUCCCAGGGUCCUGGGAUCGAGCCCCGCAUCGGGCUCCCUGCUCGGCGGGGAGCCUGCUUCUCCCUCUCCCUCUCCCUCUGCCUGCCGCUCUGCCUACUUGUUCUCUCUCUCUAUCUCUCUGUCAAAUAAAUAAAUAAAAUCUUUAAAAAAAUAUAUUAAUUGGUAGGUGAGGAGGAUUUUUCACUCUGAGAGAGAGGAUUUAUUUAAUAAGCUUUUUUUCCACAGAGAAGGGCCCAAGUUCAGUUUGUGUUUACCGAGCCCCUCCCAAUGCUGGAAGGGGAAAAAAAACUUUCCCAAAUGUCAAAAUCCUGUUUUGGGAUCUUUUUUGCCUUAAGGGCCCCCCGGCGCCUAGGCUUCCUUCUUGCUUAUAGCUUGACCUGAGUCUCCUCAGAAGGCCGGAGCCAGCAGAUACCCUUCUGACUUGGGGGCAUCUCUGGCGGGGUGGCACCCUCUCCUCAGGCUUCAACACCCCAGCGUUACCAGGUUCUGAUGGGAAGUGACCAUUGGCCACUCAGGGCAAGCUUGGGUGUUGCACAAGACUCAGAGUCGAGGUGGAGAGGAGAACACAUUUACUUGAAAGAAAACAAAACAAAACAAAAACAAAGUGCAAGUCAUUGUAAAGUUCCUGCUGGCACACUCCUGUGGGCCCUGAGGAAAAUCAGGAACUGAAUUCCUGCCCCACUGUCAGAAAUUCUCCAAGGAAGUCGGCAUGGGCCCAAUGAGAGGCCAAAGUGGAGCGCGGGCCACCUACCUGGGCUUUUGUUCAUGACGGAUGCUCCCAGUCUCUGGCUGGGUGGCUUGGGUUUGUUCCCUCAGUGUGGGCUUGGCGAGGCUGCCCUGGCAAACCCUGACCACAACAGGCCUCAGAGGUCUCCCCUCUGGAUCUUGUGCUUCCAUGUGUUUGGGGGCUGUGGUGACCUCUGGGACCAGCUUCCCACUUUGGUCUUGUUUUCUCUUUGUUAGGUCCAGCUGGUCUCAUCCCUGGGGGCAGGAUGGGUGUGGGAGGACGAUGAAAGACAGUUGGGAUUCUUCAGCUGGUGGGUUGUGGGCCUGGAGUAGAGCCGAGCUUCUCAGCCAUCCCUACCACAGCCUCCCCCAGCCCUAGUUCCUGGUUGGGACAUAACCUCUGGUUCUGACUUGAGCUGGAGCCGGCACGAUGAUUGCUUUUUCUCCGUAAGGCAAUUGUACUUCGUUGGGGCCUAACCGAAUCUUUAUCCUGCUACCCACUGCCUUUGGGACCCAGGCAGGUCCCUUCACCUCUCUGAGCCUCUGUUUCCUCACCUGUGACAUUUUAGCUUUCUUGGGGGUUGAAGACUAAAUGUGCUAACAGGAAAAUGCUUCCAGGAGCGCCUCGCAUGCUGUCAUCAUAAUAAUUAUUACUGCUGUGAUAACUGACAUUUAUUGAAGAAUGCUUUGUGCCGGGCACUCUUAUAAACACUUCGGGUGCAGUAAUUUACUUAAUCCUCACAAUGGCCUGUGAGGUAGGUACGAACAAAUCCCAUUUACAGGUAAGGACAUCGAACCACGGAGAGAAUGAAUAACUUGCCCAAAUUAGUAAGUGAAUUAGUGAAGUAACCAGGCUGUGACCAGGGAGGUUCUUUUGUUGUUGUUGUUUUAACUGUGGUAAAAUACACACAGCAUAAAAUUUACCAUCUUAACCGUGUUUAAUGGUACAGUUCGGUGGCGUCAAGCACGUUCACGUUGUUGUGCAACUCGUCUCCACAGCUCCUUUCAUCUUGCAAAACUGAAACUCUAUACUCAUUAGACAGCAAGUUCCCAUUAACCCUGCCACCCCCAGACCCUGGAAACCGCCAUCCUACUUUCUGUCCCUGUGAUUUUGAUGACUCUCAGUACCUUGUAUUUGUCUUUCUGUGACCGGCUUAUUUCACCCAGCAUAAUGUCCUCGAGGUGUAUCCAUGCUUGCUUCUUUUUUAAGGCUGAAUAAUAUUCCAUUACAUGCACAGACCACGUUUUUGUUUAUCCAUUUAUCUGCCAGUCAACAUAUGGGUUGCUCCCACAUUUUGGCUGUUGUAAUGCUGUUGUGAACAUAGGUGUAUCUGUUUGAGUCCCUGCUUUCAGUUCUUUGAGGUAUAAACCCAGAAGUGGAAUUGUUGGAUCAUAUGAUCAUUCUAUUUUUAAUUUUUUGAGGAACUGCCAUACUCUUUCCCACAGUGGCUGUAACAUUUUACUUUGCCACCAGCAAUGUGCAAGAGUUCCAGUUUCUCCAUGUCCUUAUCAGCACUGGUUUUCUGGUUUUUGGAGAGUAGCCAUUCCAGCGGGUGUGAGAUGGUAUCUUAUCAUGGCUUUGAUUUUCAUUUCCCUGAUAACUAGUAACUUCAGUAUCUUUUCAUGUGCUUAUUGGCCAUUUGGGUAUCUUCUCUGGAGAAAUAUCUAUUCAAAUCCUUUACCCUUUUUUUAGUCAGGUGGGGUGGUUUUUUUGUUAUUGUUGUUGAAUUAUGGUAGUUCUUUAUAUAUUCUGGAUACUAACCCCUUAUCAGAUAUACAGUUUGCAAAUAUUUUCUCCCAUUCCAUGGGUUGUCUUUUCACUCUUCUUGGUUGUGUCCUUUGAUGCACGGAAGUUUUAAAUUCUGACAUUGUCCAAUUUGUCUACUUUUGCUUCUGUUUCCUGUGCUUUUGGUGUCCUAUCCAACCAAGGGGUUCUUUUGGAGUGAUCUAUAGUUGAAGAAAGCUGGAAGAAGCAAAUUCUACUCAAUUUUUGUGGAAGUCCCCAAGAGGAAUUAAGGAUCCAAAGGUUUAUGGUUCUUGUUCCACGCUGUCAGAAAGCCUGCGGAAACCCUGGGGUCAUUUGCAGUGGUCCUAGCAGUGGCUAAGUACGCGUGUUCCCGUCAGCUCUGCCAAUGUUGCCUAAUCGUGGUCUCUUACAUUGUUUUCAAGUAGGUAUUCGGUUAUUUUAAUUCCUAUUUCUUUAGUAGUGAGACUGAACCCCUUCCCAGGUGCUGGUUUAUCCGGUAUGGUUCCCAGUGUGCAUGUGCAGAUAUAUAAAGUGUCUGGCAUAGGGCUGUGACUUACUGACAUUCCUUCUCUCUCUCUCUCUUUUUCCUCUGUCCCUUUGCUCUCGGUCAAGUGUGUUCUCAUUGCUGAUGGCAGUGUAUGUUUAUAUCACAAUGUAAGAUUUCAUUCCUACUUUUGGAUCUUAAAUAUUUACCCAUUGUCUGUGUCAUAACUUCGAACUUCCUUUUGCCCCUUUGUGUUUGUUACUUUUUAUUAAGGAGACUUUAAGUAGACUUUAAAAUAUAUAUAUAUUUUUAAGAUUUUAUUUAUUUGACAAAGAGAGACACAGUGAGAGAGGGAACACAGACAGGGGGAGUGGGAGAGGGAGAAGCAGGCUUCCCACGGAGCAAGAAGCCCGAUGCGGGGCUCGAUCCCAGGACCCUGGGAUCAUGACCUGAGCCGAAGGCAGACACUUAACGACUGAGCCACCCAGGCGCCCCUAGACUUUAAAAUAUUUGAAUUCACCUUUCUCUAGUCUUAGGAUACUAUUUUGUUUUUCAGUAGGCAUGGAUUUCUCUCUCUGCUACAGCCGACAUAAAUGCAUAAUUUUUUUUCAGUGCUCUCUGUGUUUAAUUAGUUCAUUGACCAAUUUGGAAAGUAUUAUCGUGUUUGGUGAGUUACGAAUACGAUCUACUUUUCUUCAUAGUGAUACCAGAUUGUUCCAUUAACAUUUAUUAAAGAGUGAUUCUUUCAUUCAUCACUGUGAUUCUUUGUUUUGUUUGCUGUAUCCCAAGGACUUAUCGGUGCUUAAAUCCAUCUCUGGAAUCACUGUUUGAUUAGUCUUUGUUCUGGCUUUGAUCCAGCAAAAUUCAGUCUUGAUGAAGAUCACUUUAUAAUAUAUCCUUAAAUUUAAUUAUUAUACCCUCCAACAAUCUUCUUUGGUAUUAUUAUGUAUUUAUUUUUCCUUAUUAAUUUUGCUAGUGAUUUAUUACAUUCUAGAACAUUCUGGCAGGACUUCAGUUGUUCUUAUGUUACUCUAUUUUUUUAUGGACUAAUGUUACUGAUAUUACUCUAAAUUUUCUAAGUGAGGAGGAGUGGAUAUAACUUUGUUUAGGUAUUCUUUUAUUUUUCCUACUAUGAUUUUUAUCAUUUUUACUUCACUAGAUAUCUUCUGCACCUAGAUACAUAAAUUCUCAAGUAUUUCCUUUGUUUCAGUAUUGGGCAUAGCACCAUUUUUCGUUGCCUUUUCUCGCUUUACAUCAAUGGUAUGCAUUUGGUUGAUCUUGCAUUUUCUAUUUGCUCUCUCGUAUCACCUGCAAAAACGUGAUAGUUCUAAUUCUGCCUUCCUAUAUUUAUUCUGCAGUUCUUUUCCAUCUUGUCUUGCAAUAUUGUUUAAUACUCGCUCCAGUGGGAGUGCUGAGAAGGGCAUCUUAGGCUUCUGCCUGUGUUUGCAGCCAUGGCUGCUCAUGGCCAUUUAAAUUUAAAUAAAUUAAAAGUUAAAUAAAGUAAAAAAUUCAGUUCCUCUGUCACAUUAGCCACAUCUGAGUGCGCAGUAGACACACAUGACUUGUUAUGACUGCAUGGGACAGCACAAAUAAAUACUCCAUCAUUGCAGAAAGUGUUAAGGCACAGCACUAAUCUACCAUUUCCACAUGAAGAAUAAUAGUGAGGGGUGCCUGGGUGGCACAGUCGGUUAAGUGUCCGACUCUUGGGUUUUGGUGCAGGUCGUGACCUCAGGGGCGUGCGAGGGAGCCCCCUGUCGGGCUCAGCACUUGGUGCAGAGUCUGCUGGAGGAUUCUCUUUCUCCCUCUCCCUCUGCCCCGUCUGCUUGUGCUCGCUCUCUCUCUCAAAUAAAUAAAUCUUUUUUUUUUUUUACAAAAGAAUAAUCUUGAAACUCAGAUUUAAAUCUGUGAUCUUUUUUUAUCUUAAGGUAUCCAUCUCCUCUUCCUAUUUUGAAGACUUCUUUUAAAUAAUUAACAUUGAAUGUUAAUGAUGGCCUUCUCAGCAUCCACCAAUAGAAUUCUUAGAUUUAAAAAUUGAUUUUUUUUUUUUUUUUUACAUGAAAGCAUUGAACUGUCCUAAUAAUUUCCCCCAUCUAGUGCUGGUUCUGUCUUUGUAAAAUAGCUUACGCUUGUUUAUUUUUUAAACAUUUCCCCUUUGUCUAUAGGAAAUUAUUUAUGGUUUAUUAAACUAUAUUCUUGUACAGGGUAGUCCUAGCAUUCUCUCUCGCUCAGUGUUGUCCUCAGGUGUUUUAGAUCAAGAUCUUAUUUACUCCCUAAUAUGACUUAUAUGAUAAACAAUCUUGUAUUCUGAAACCUUUUAUGUAACUGAUAUUUGAAAAUUUAUAGAUGUUCUCUGGAGAACCCAUUAGGGGCUUCUUUUAGAAAUGUAUGGAGGGGACAGAACUUUUUUAUUUUUUUAUUCAACAUAAUUAGUUCAGUAAGCACCGUCGAAUGUAAACCUCUCCUGUGAAACACAGGGCAAAAUGCUGUAUGGCAAGAUGAACAUAAUAUUGGCUAUUGAAAAGAAUGAGGCUUUCAUAGCCCCUUUCACAGGAUUCUUCAAGGCUCUCUCCUACCCCUCAGUGUCCCCCUGUUGUACUCCCCAGCUUGACCACCAGGUCAGUCCUCUCACAUACGCCCCAGCUCCAGUACAGUGACCACAUUCCGUCAUCCCAAGUAUGAGUUUCUCUUGCAGAGAAUGCCCUUUUCCCCCUCUCAUUCACCCUGAGGACCCACCCAAAGUUCCUGUCUUUGUGAUUUUCCAAGUGAUUUCUUUCUGCUCUCAUCUUAAUGUAUUCCUUGAGCAUGUCAUUCUUUUUGGCAAAUAACUAUUCACAGCCUUGUAUCAUCUAAUUAUCUUUUGUGUUAUUAUGUACCUCUCCUGUGUCUAAGGUCCCUGUAGGGAUAGGAGUGAAGGUAGAUUUCAGGUCUCUCAUUUCUUUUGUUCAGCAGACACGGGCCAGUAUAUAGCGCUAAGUAUGUGGCAGACAUUCAGAGAUACUUACUGAACAAGUGUCUUGAUAUAUUAGCGAUUCUUACUCUAUUACCAGGAAAACUAACAAAAUCUCUGGCCAUGGGCAGGAUUUAGAGCUUUUGUAAACUAGUAUAACCUAUUUGGAGAAACAGGCAAAAGAGUUUCCAUAAAGGACCAUACUCAUCUUCCCGAUUGAAUUCAGCCCCUUGUUCCCUCACACUCAACAGGUAACUGCUGAGUUAUGCCCUCCUUCCCACGUGCCACAGGUGGGAGAAUCAGGGUUGAACAAAAUAAACAUGGCCUCUGGCUUCAUGGUGUCCACAGUCCAGUAGGGGAGAUUGGUAUUAAAUAAGUAUACCACCAAAUAAAGAUGUCGUAAGAAAUUGUGCUAAGUACUACAAAGGAAAGAGAAGGAUAUGGAUGAAGUUAACCCGGCUGGCUGGGUGGGGCCUCAGAUUAGGAAGUGACAUUUAAGGCGAGAGCUGAAGGAUGGAUUACAUUACAUUAAUAUGAAUGAAGAAGCCAGGUAGAGGGAAGAGCAUGUACAAAGGCCCUGAGGUGUGAAAGAGCUCUGUGGGUUUGAGAAACAACCACAGGCCAGUGUAUGAGUAGAGCAUGGUAAAUAAGUUGGGGGGAAUUGACAUGGGUUGAGGCAGGUCCAGAUCCAAAGCGCCCUUAUGGUGCUGGAUUGGGCAUUUGGAUUUUUAACCAGCUUUAAGCAAUCUGAUGUCCAUUUUAAGAGAUUUUUCUAAGCCAAUAUAUGUGCCUAGUAUUGCUCCAAGCAAAAUACAUAUGUUAUCUUAUUUAAUGCAGAGAACAUCCAUAUGAUAUAGGUACUUUUAAUAUGCACAUUUUCCAGUUGAGGAAACCAAGGCCCAGAGAUGUUAAGCAACUAGCCUGGAGUCACAAGCACAUUUGUAAAGGGGCCAGUAUGUAACCAGUUGUCCUGGGCCUCCAGAGCCCAAGCUCUGACCACUGGGUGGCCUUGCCACAGCAUCACUUGGCCACUGCGUGGCUUGUGGAGUUGGGCAGCGUAGGUGCAGGCUGAUAAAUUCGGGGUCUCUUUCAGCAGUGCAGGUAAGAGGUCGUACCUUAGACUGGGGGUGCUCUGUAACUGGAGAGAAACCGAUAUUCUGGGGUGGGGCCCAGAUGGAGAAAGGGAAACAUGAUAACGUGGGAAUAAAUAGGUAUGAUUUAUUUAGACAUUUAAAAAAAGUCUUUAAAGUCUCAUUUUAAAGAAUUUGAAAUUUAUAAAAGAAAGUAAUCAGCAAAAGCACCGCGUGAAAAGCAAAUAAAAAUAGGAUCAGAAAUGAAAUGCAAAUCAGACUAAUAAACAAGCUUUUCCUUAAUUGAUACAGUGGGAAGAAAAGAAGAACUGAGAAAGGAAAUGCAAUUAUUCUAAAAGAAAUGUGUCAUUUGUAUGGAAUAUUGUUUAUAACUCCUUGCUAAAUUAGCUAACCAAGCCGAAACAGAUAACUAAACUAGUGAGUAAAUAGAUAAUGAAGUUGGUUCACAAUUUAGUGUCGUAGCAGAUAUGGGAUCUGCUGCCCACUCUUUUCCUCUCCUCCCCUCCUCUCCCUGCCUGCUGAAGUCUGACCAAUCCUCCUGACCCUGUUCAAAUCCCUCCCCAAAAUAGAAAAAUGAAACUAUCACCAUGAACCCGUGGUUGUUUUAGCCCAAAUCCACAAUGACCAGCAGGACAGAUGGCCUCACGGUACUAGAAGCAAAGGUUACGUUCUGUGCAGCCUUUUCUAUUGAAGAGAGCAGGGGAGGGUUUAAUCUGCUCUAGAAAUGGUUUCUACCCUAACAGACACAUUUUCAACAAGCAAGUUUUGGAGCGUGAAGACAUAAGAAAGAAUUCUCUGGAAACUGAUGUGGAUCACCUAGUGGGCCAAAUAAAGUCAGAGUGGAGCAUUUGUGGGUGAAUUGAGCUUGUAAGAUUUUAGGUGAAAACCUCAAAUACAGCUGCCAUGUUGUGAACUGUAUUCUCUUGAGAAAAGGUGAAUGACAGGCGUGAGAAGUACACCUCCAUCAGGUUAUCCAGGGGAGAUGGGAGGAGACCUGAUGCUGGUUUCCAGGGACCAGGACUGGGUCCAGUCUCAGUGUGUGUCCCAGAAGCUCAAAGAGUGACGAGAGCGGGAGAGGGUAGCCAAGUGUGGCUGCCAUUCCCACCUCUUGCCCGCCUUCUUCAGUACUCCCUCCUCCCGGGAGAAGUCUCCCCAGCCGUGGAAAACCUAGGACAGGGCUCACGACCCGCCUAUGUGAGCUCCUUUAGUGGGCGAGCGGCCCUUUACAAGGGUACCAAGUGCCCUCUGUGAGGGCAUUGGGAUAUUUGCAGAGUGGCACGGAAGGUGAGCAGAGACGUCAGCACGGGUGGGGUGUCAGGCCGUGUGCAUUAGGCACGGCCAGGUUACAAACCUUAGGAAAGCAGUCCGGCUUGUGCAUACCAGGUUCGGGUCACCACAGUUUCCUUUUCCGUAGACUGUUCCUCAUUGGAAAGGAAGGAAGGUUAGCAAGGUGAGCGGGAGGAAGGAAAGAAACAGAGGGGGUGGAUAACUAGAUGCUAAUACGAGGCCACUCAUUCGUGGACAUUUGGCAUUACUAAGACAGGACAGAGCUGGGUCCUGGGAACUCUGAUGACCAAGGUACAAUCUCCAGUUAACGUCUUUGGCUAGUCAGCCACAUGUCCACACAUACUGGUAUGUCUAGACAUUAUAUGCGAAGUCCUAGAUGUAGCACCUGGUGCAUAUUUGGUCCUUAGCAAAGCCUGACCACCCUCAUAUAACCAUUUCCGUCAUCAUCAGGAGGCUGUGAGAUCCUUGAGGACAGGCAACUGUCCACGUGUCUCCAAAUCUCUGGCUUGACCAAGUGUCUAGUGCACAUGUCAGAGUCCAUGAGCGUAUGGUGACCUAUUGACUAACUGAAUGAAUACAUUUCUGAGCACCUGUGCCCUGCAGGCACCUUUAAAAGGCAUGGAAAAAGCCUCUGAGACCUAAAACGAGAGGGGGCGUAAAUAAAAAAUGUUAUAAAUUGAAAAGCUCGUGCAGAGGUAGCAUUUGUGAAGUAC